CAGAACUUGGCGGAGGAGAGCUCAUACCCCCACCAGGUGCCCCACCGGGUGAGGUGGGUGUAGGAGCUCCUCCGGGACCAGAAGCACUUGAAGGUGUAGGAGCUCCUCCGGGACCAGGAGCACUUGAAGGUGUAGGAGCUCCUCCGGGGCCAGGAGCUGGUGAGGAUGACGGCACUGAUGCUGGUGUAGGUGCUGGACCCGCUGGUGUUUUUGGUGCUGGGGCUGGUGUUGCUGCUGCUGGUGUUUUUGCUGGCGCCGGGGCCGAAGUCGGUGGUGCAGGUGUAGUUGACGGUGUUGAUGCUGGCGGAGGUGUGGAUGAGGGUGGAGGUGUGGAUGCUGGUGGAGGUGUUGAUGGUGGCGAUGAUGCUGGUGGAGGGGUGGCUUUAGGAGCUGGAGCUGGAGCUGCACCACCUCCUGAAACGGAGACGGUCAAUUUUUGUCCCAAGGAACAGUGCUGGCCGAAGGUGCAAAUGAAAUAUGCCUGCCCUGGGGAGGUUAGAUUGAUUCUUGCCGGACCAACAGUUUGUAGUGAGAUGGGAUUGCUUGAGGUGCAUCCGUCAUAACUUGCCUUUGAAACUACGGCCACAUCGUGAGCCCCAGUUGCGAAGUUAAAAACUGCAACAAUUUACAAAGUUUCACUACUCAUUUAUCAAGACACUCAGAAUCCUAACCUGUAUCAUCAAACUGAACACAAAAAAAUUAAAAAAAAAAAAAAUCUGAUGCCAAUCAAGCAAGAAUUUUAUAUUAGUAGUUUCAUAGCAGCAUCGAUCCAUUUCUAAGUCCAACAAAAACAAAAUCAAGAAAAGCUGCUAAAAAAAUCUAUUCAGGGUUCAGCGUGCCCUGCGACAAAGAUGUAGGGGCAGGGUACAUAAAUAUCUCGUACGUACCUAAGAUAUCACCAACUUUGAAGGUCUGUUGAGAAGCCCAGUUGGGAUAGACCGAAGAACCGGAGGGGACUGUCCAGCCCAAGCUGUCCCCGACCACAUGAGUUGCCGCAUCGGUGUUUCCUAGAAUAGCAGCGGCUAGAAUUACCAAAAGUGGCACUGCUGCAAAGGUGGUACUUGCAGCCAUACUUUCCUCUAGCUAGAGGGGCUACUUAUGUGUUCUCAAGUCGACCCCUGCCUGAAGCUUUCUAAGCUUUUGCUAAUUGUGGGAUCCUGCUCAAGCGUUCAAGAACCCUUCCGUUUCAACCAGGGAAAUCAAAUAUAAUAGAUUAUAGAGAGAGAGAGAGAGAGAGAGGAAACACAAAAGAAAAGGACGUGCGAUGAGUAGGAUGAGUUUUCCUUGGAAGUGUGUGUGGGAGGAAGAGGAUAUAGCCAUAUAGGGGGUUUCAAAAGGAUAGAUUCCACGUGGAGUGGUAAUAGUGCGUCAGUGGUAGCUAGGGAUUGGCUAUUGAAUUGAUGAGCAGUUGCUGAACGACUACCCGCAUCAGCAAUUCAGCAAACGGUAGAAACACUGUAGGAGAUUUUUGGUCCAACUAGUGGUCUUCCAACUCAACUGUUCAUCGUUCGGUGCGUUGGAAAAUGCUUUGCCCACAAACAUUGCAAAAGAGGCCUUUGAUUUUUCAAGCGCCUAAUGAAUGUCGGGCGGUGUUAGUGUCAUAAUCUAUAAAUUUUGCUAAUUCUUGAAUAAAAUGCGAAGCUUGUCUUUAUUCAAGUCAAAAUGAAACGUAGAUUGAAAAGAAGUCAAAAUUCGGACCGUGAUAAUAUCAUCAUCAUUGGCGAAUGCACACGCGUGUCCGAUCUUCACAGGCGUGGUGGAGUUGCUCUUACCAAAAAUAUCAACCGCGGAUAUGGUCGUGCAAAUUCAAGAAGUAUUCCUGGGUGGAGAACGGAAUACAUAGCUGAUGGGCAUGGCUGUAGCCUGUAAUGAAGGGGUACGAGAGUACUGUAUUUUCACCGGGAAGCGUGACUUUUCUAGUAUUUGGAGUUAGUCUACCGUCGGUCGGCAUUCCUUUAUGAAAGUGGUGAUCAAGGCCCACCACGCGUUUUUGCUGCUUCAAACUUUAGAAGUCAGCACAGACCGACCGCUUUCUACGCAAUAUUGUAUAACCUAUCAAUUUUAGCAUAGUUAUUAAACACAACCCGGGAGGGAACCCGGUGAGCGAGGUGGGUCAACGGGUUACUGGUUUAACCAGUAGGUGAGAGGUUGAACCGGUGGGUCACUAAAUAUAUUUAAAUAUUAUAAUUCAUAAUUUUAAAUAUAAGAUAUAAGAUAUAAAUUGUAAUAACUAAUGUCAUAGCAAAUACUCAUAUAAUUUAAUUUGCUAUAAAAUAAUUAAUUCAUAUAAGAAUCAAUAAAAUAUAAAAUUAUUUAGUAAUACACCAAAUUUUAAGUAUAAAAUUUUAUCUAUAUUCAGUGUAAUUAUCUAACUUAUUUAUAAGUUUUAAGUGCAAAAAAAUAUUAAAAAUAAUAUUUGUCUUUAAAAUGAAUUAUGUAAUAUGUUAUUUUUGAAGUCUAUUUUAUAACUUAUAGAGUUUGGGGGUCAUAAAUUUUUAUUAAAAGAUUCCAAAUAAAUUUGUUUUAGAGAAAUGAAAAAAAGAUAAAAUUGAAAAAGGUUUAUAUAUUAUAAGUAAGAAAUCUUAGCACCAUAUUGUGAAGUAGCUUGGUGGUGUCUGCGUUGUAGCAAUGCUCAUAUGUCCAAUGUUCGAAUCCCAUCAAAGGCAUAAAUUUUUUCUCAGGAACCCGGUUUGUAGACAAAACCGGCCGGGUUUCCGGUUUAAACCGGUCAAACCGCCGGUCCGUUGACUAGAAUGCUCAUAUGUCCAAUGUUCGAAUCCCAUCAAAGGCAUAAAUUUUUUCUCAGGAACCCGGUUUGUAGACAAAAUCGGCCGGAUUUCCGGUUUAAUCCGGUCAAACCGCCGGUCCGUUGACUAGUCAACGGGUUGAUUGCUUAAACGAUCUAACUCAAAAUCCAGUCCGGUCCAAUGUCCGGUUCACCGGUUUGACUGAUUCGACUGCCGGACCGAGCCGGGUUUAAUAACUAUGAAUUUUAGACUAGAGAAAAAGGAGAGUCCGAAGAGUCUUUGUGCAGAUACAUAAAUUUUACUAGAUUAAAGAAGUAUUUUGUCAUAAUUUUUAAAUUUUUUUUACUAUAAAUGGGAUCUAAACCCUCACUAAUAGUCCAAGCAGGAUUUUAAAACCCAAGCUCAGUGAUUACCGCUUUCUACAGUUGAAAUGUCGACCAAUUUAGCUUAUGGUUCUGAACACUGAACUACGAGAAGAUAAGAGUCUGUUAUCCCUUUGAAAUGUCAGCAAAAUCUAAUGGCUUAAGGGUCACCAUUUGUCCCGAAGAUGGUUGGCUGAGGAGCCCCUCUUCGCUUCCUUUUUGUUUGGCAGGGAGUCGUUUCAUAUCGGACGCGGGGUUGGAACGGUUGUCAGAACAACAGCUCCUGAAGGUGUAACAUUAUUUAUACAUGAUGUAACAUCAUUUGUACAAAGUGUAAUAAUAGAAUAAUAGCGAGUAACACUAGAACAACAUUUUUGUGAGUCCCACACGACGUGAAAAUCGAAUUACAAGACGUGAUUUGAACCGCACAAAAUUUUGAGACCUCAUCCAGACCGUGAACUGCCUGGGACGGUUGUCUCUGGACGAGGGGCCCUCGUCCUUUCAUAUCAUACAAUAUGAGCCUAGUGAAACAAAUCUAAACACAUCAAUAUAUAAUAAAUAUUAAUUUUUUUUCGCAACAGCGACAAUCCACCGCACUACUGAUUUUUUUUUUUUUAUUGUUUUAUACGGAAUCUUUUUGUUUCGUAUGGAGUCGUUUCAUAUAAUAUGAGUCUAGUAAGAAAAUCUAAAUAAAUCAAUACGUGACAAAUAAAAUUUUUGCUUUUUUUGCAAUGGCAACAAUCUAGUGCACUGCUGUACUUCCUUAUCAUUUCAUGCAAUAUGAGCUUAGUUAGUAAGAAAAAUCUAAAUACAUCAACACAUAACAAAUAUAACUUUUUUUUUUCAAACCAUGACAAUUAAGUGGACUGUUAUACUUCCUUGUGAUGCAUUAAACAGACUAUUAUACUUUUUAGUUUUUAUGAUGCACUAGACAUUAUUUAAAUCUCACACCUAGGGCGCCGGAGAGAUUUAAAGUGACUCUCCUAGACCAUUGACCAUUGACCAUUGGACCAACUCCCAAUGGUUACGUAACAACCAUUAACGUGAAGUAUUAAACUGAACGAAGAAAACCUUCAAGUCCAAUUUCUUGAUAUACAUAUCAUUGUAAGCCAAUUGACGAGUGACUUGGGUAGUGUUUUCUCUGGCAAUGACCAAAAGCCAUAAAAGAUGUACAGUCCACAUCCAUGAAGGAACCAAGAAAUACAAAUCGGGCAUGCCAUCAAGUUGGAGGCGCUGAGGCCAUGCCUUUAUGCGCGGCGGGCCGGGGAGCCAAGCUUGGUGGGGGUGAAAAGAUGUUUGUUCUCCCCCCCGGCGGCGGGGGCGGGUUUUUUUAUUCGAAUUGGCGCAGUGAAAUUAAUGGCAUUUUCCAUCCUAUAGAAAAAGAUCUUCUUUUUAUUUCUUUAUUUGAAAAAAUAAAAGUAAAAAGUGAUGACAUCUGAAGCUUUAGCCUUUAAGCAUUUUUUUUUAAAAAAAAAUUAUUUUAUAGUUGUUUAAAGCGGAAAUUGAGAACUGCAAAAACAAAUUCUAUAGGAGAAAAAGUGCUCCUACAAUGGAAAAUUAGUGAGGGCAAUUCUGCUUGCAUCCUUUAAAGUUUGUACAACUACAGGAGUCUACUUUGUGUGUCCCAAGUACUACGUUGAAAUCCCUAUUAUUUGUUUGACAUUAUGGUUGAAAAAGUAAUGGAUAUAUUUUCGUUGGAAUUACGUGGUGUCAAGAUAAUCUUGAAGUAAUGGAACAUCUUAAGAUAAGAUAUAUCAACAUGGAGAAGGAGGCUUAGAAAAAUGGGGCUUCAAAAAUUCGGAGGAAUUGUUGUAUUUUUGGCUAAAAUAAUCUACUUUUUAAAAAAUAAUUUCAAAGUAAUGCUCUUUUAGUUAUUCCUUUAUUAAUUUAAUUAUUGCCAUGUAGACUCUACAUCAACGGAAAAAAAUUACUUGUAAAUCUUUUGUUUAAAUAUUACAUAGUUUUUCUUUAUUUAGUGCCUUAAGGACAUCCUGUCAACAAAUUAAAAAAUGAAAGUGAAUCUAUAAUUAGUGUUUUUAAAAUUGUUAAUCACCCUCCAAAUUGCAAUGAUUUUGCCAAAGAACCUUUUUUUUUUCAUUAAACACGUACAGAGGAAUUAAAUACGCCAUUAGCUAUCAAAACUAGCUUUUGGGGUACGAUCAAAAGGUCUCCUUUCCAAUAGAAACUCGACGCUCUUCUUCCCCGGGGUCCACCUUUCUAUGCAGAUGGCAAUUGAGGAAACUGCCGACACCUUCCAAUUAGAAUAAAGGCAUAUUUUUACUUUGUAGAGAAUUUUAGAAAAAAAAGUUGUACCAGGUGGAAUAAUUCACCCACUAUUUAUUUCCCAUAAAAGAAAGACAAGAAGAGGCCGUUCACAUCUAUUUCCUAAUCAUCUCCAACCACCACAAGUCAAGAUGAAAUUAUUUUUGGAGAUCCAUAUGUAUAUAUUUAUGCUGCUCUCUUUUUGGCAAAAAAGGAAAGAUUACACCAAUUAUUUCUCACAUAUUAUUGAUGAUAAAUUUAGUUCAUCAAAUUUAAAAUCACCAAUUUUAGUUCCUAAUAAAUAAAACCCACAUAUUUUUUAUGUGUGGUCAGUAUUUAAAAGGCAACUCUGAUAACUCACUUAAUGUUAACUUAAAAUUUUCACUUAAUCUAUUUAUUUCUCCUAAUUUUUCUUCACUCAAACCCUUAUUUGACAAAUCCAAAAAUAUAUACACACACCUCCCACUCUUACUAUCAUCUUCCCUACUAUUCCCACUUUCACUUGCUGUCACAUUUGAUCUCUUCUCACUCCUUUCUUGCCACCGCUUUCUCUUCUAUCUCUCUCUUCUUUAGUUUUCUCCUCCUUUUCCCUGCUGAUAGGUUGCAUUUUAGUGGGUAUUUUGGGCAUUAUUGCAUAAUUAUUUGACUAAAUAUUUUCGUUAAUUGGGUGGAUUCUACUGAUAUUUUGUUUUGGUGCUAAUUGCAGGGAUGGUUGCUGAAAAGUGCUUAAAUUCAACUUUUAGAAGAUUCAUCGGACGUGGGGCCCAUUUGAAAAGUUAAAGAAACCUAAUUGUAAUAGAUUUUAUUUUAAUAUAUUCCUAGGGAGUCUGGCUGCAGUUUUGGGGACAAGUAACAAUUUCCGGCUAUUGGGAAUACUAUUUAUCUCUCGCGCGGCUUGGGUUAGAAGGGGGUUCUUUUUCUCUUUGUUUUGGUUCUUCUUUGGCUCUGGGAGGAGACAAAACAGCCGCAGCUUUGUAGGGAGAAAGGAAUAGCCACUUUUGUUGACUUUGGGGAUUCUAUGAACUAUUGAUUUGUUCUGUGACCAAAUUGAGAAGUGAAAAAACAAUUGCAAUCUUCCAAUCUCUCGUAUGUUUUCUUGCGUGAGAGAAGAGAGAAAGUAAAAGUGAGCCGCAAUCGUGGACUUUGGUCAUUGCUUUUCAUUCUGGCUUUGACCGAAGGAAAUUGAAGCAAUCGUAAUCCAUUGUCGCUCUUUUCUCUCUUCGGUUGACCGAAGUGUACGAAGGUCAAGUCUUCCGUUUGCCUAGAUUAAAGAAUUGACGGCUUCCUCCAGCUUUGCCGCAUGGCCUGUACUCCAAUUAUGAGGAGCUAAUUCUUCAAUUCUAGUCAAGGGGACAACUGACGAUUUGGUUCAGAAAUUACUGUGAGAUCGAAUUUAUUUUAACUAUUUCCUUCAUUUAUUAAUAUUUAUAUAUUUCCUGUUUUUAAGUGUUAUAGCCGUAUGUAUGAUUGAUUAGUGCGCAAUAAUUAAUUGUUCAUAUAGGCUAUUUUGCUAUAUAGGGGUGAUUGAAUCCGUAAUUGUUCGUUACUUCUAUUCCAGUAGCAACUGGCACAAUUGGAUUUGUGUCAGGGAAAUAUUUGAUCUGGCUUGAAUGAACCCUCGUAGCGUGUUUGUUAGUCAGGAUUGGGCCUUUCUAAUUACUAAUGCAAUCUAGAAAUUGAAUCCUACGGUCGUACCUAGGGUUGUUUUUGGGUUAGAGAAAUAGCUAACGGUCGUACCUUAGCUAUCGAUAAAUUAAGGAAGGGUUGGUUGUUUAGCGCGUGCGAGACAACUAGAACCAAUCUAUUAAUAAAGGUUGGAAUUAUUUUUUGCAUCAAUGAUCAGUGCAUGAACCAUUUCUGAAGUAUACCCUUGGCUAGAGUUUCUCUUAGUUAUUUCUUUUAAUUAAUUAGUUUCUGCAUUUAAUUUGUUCAGUUGGCUUUUGAUACCAAAACCCCCCCAUUAAUCUUGAUUUGAAAAGAAACAAAUAUUUCUCCAGUCCCUGAGGAGACGACCCUGCUUGCCACUGUCUGCUAGUUAGGGAGUUCAGUUAAAUAAUUAAUUCAGGUAUAUCGGAUUAAGCAAACUCUUCGGGAACAGGGUGAAUCAAGUAACCCAUUGCACACCUAGAGUCCCUGCUCCAGUACUCGAAUUGAUUAUUAGCUGUUUCAGGUGGUAGUUAGGAUUUAUUUAUUAUUAUUGCACAGGUUCGGCACCUGUCACCUGCUUAUUUUUCUCCGACCACUACUCAUUCUGCCACCUCUUCUUAUUUUCUUCCCUCCUCUUUCUUUCCUAUUCUCUUCUCCUUUACUUUCCCAUUAUUCCUUGCUUUCUCUUUUCUUCUUUCUCUUCUUCUUCUUAACUUUUGUCUCUCCAUACUCCCCUUUUUCCCAGCGAUUUGGUUGUGUUCCAAGUGAGGGAAAGAGAGAGGCACUAGAGAAGGAGAAAGGGGAAAAAAGAGUGGCAGAGGAAAAAAAUAAGACAGAAGAAUGAUAAAGUGGGAGAAGAAGAGAAGAAUAGAGGGAGAAAAAGAAUAGGUGGUAGGAGAAGGAGUGAAAGAGAAUCAAGAGUGCUGAUGGAAGUAAAACGGUGGUGAAAGAUGAAAAUGGAUGUAUGUAUUUUCAGGUUUGUGAAAUUAGGGUUUAGAUGGAGAAGAAUUUAGAAAAAUGAUAGAUUAAGGUUUUGUUUGAUAAAACUGAAUCUGAAUUUUGAAGUUUGAAUUCUGAAAUCUGAAUACUGAAACAAUUAAUUUGCUGAAUUUUAAGCACUGGAAAAAUAUAUGAAUGUUUGAAUUUUAAUGCUAAACUUAUUUAUACCGUUUGAUAAAUAUUUAUAGCUGAAUGCUUAAUAAGUUUAAUUUAACAAUUUUGCUCUUAUAUCAUUUCAUUCAAAAAAGAAAUAGAAUCUAUUAGUUUAAAAUUGUUAGGUAUGAAAAUGAUAAUAUUUAUUUUUGAAUCAAAUUAAUAUAAAAGAUGAAAUAUAUUAUAUAAGGAGUAUGGAGAAGAUGUGAAAGUCAUUAAAAAGGGAGAAAAGAGAAACUAAAAAUUGUUAAAUAGAGAAUAUUAUGUUGUUUAAUUAGAUAAGAAUUUUGAAAAUAAUUAACAAACAAGGAUAGAUUUGGUAGAUAAGAUAAGGUAGUUGAAAUAAUUUUAUUGAUUCUUAUCAGAAUUAAGCAUUCAAUUAGGAUUCCUGUACUGAAAAAAAUACACACAGGUUCAGCACUGCUUAACAAAUUCAGCAAAUAGAUUUUCAUUUAUCAAACACUCAAAACAUCUGAAUGUCUGAAAAAAUUCAGAUUCGACACUUUUUUAUGUUAUCAAACAGACCCUAAGUCAACAAUUGUAUUAAGUAAAUUGUCUGAUUUGGCAUUUAAAUAUUGACCAUGUGAAAUGUUCUAACUUAUUUCGGCCAAAAUUUGACUUGGAAGGCAACAAAAGACCAAAAAAAGUAUUUUAGUCCUAACAAAUAAAAAUUACUUUUUUAAAUCCCUAUAGAAAAUUUUGGUAAAUUUUCUAUAGGGAUCACUAAUACGACGAAAAUAAAAUAAAGAAUGGUUUGGUUAACAGGUGCCUAAUGAGCCGCCGUUAAGAGGGGUCUUAAGUAUUACUUUCUAGAGGGGUUUCAAGUAUUAGUUCUUUAGAUAAAUUUAGAGGUUUUUGUUUAAUGAUUAAGAUUGAAACUUUAGAAUUUAAAGGUUCUGGAUUCAUACCCCUAUUUUUCCUCCUCAUUCCUUAAAUCUCACCAUUCUCCCAUUUAAAUUUUUUAAAAAUGUAAUUAAUUUAAGAAAGUAUAUAAAUGCAGGGGUAUAAUAAUUAUGAUUGUGUUCACCCCUCCCCUUUUUUUAAAAAAAUUAAAAUAUAAUUAAUUUGAGAAAGUAUAUAAAUGUAGGGGUAUAAUAAUUGUGAUUGUGUAUAUUCAUAUUACAGCUUAAGUGUAAUCUAGAUGUGCUAACAAAUGCCCACUAAAGAACUAGAAAAAUUAAACAAAAAAGUCUUUGAUUCAUUUUGGAAAAUUAAAAUCAUAGGUUUCAUAUUUGCAUUCAAAUUGAAGAAGGCCCAUCAAAUAAAGGCCGUUAUUAGCGAAUCCAUGCUGGAUCUAAACUUGACCUUGUCUUUUUCCUUUCAAUAAAUCUUUGAUAAUGUUAUAGGUGUCAAAUAAAUCCAUUUAACUAAAUUUAUUCAUAUUCAUCCAUGAAUAGAUGGGUAUAGAUAUUUUAAAUUUUUAUAUAUGGGUAUAAAUAUGUUAUCCAAUAAUACCUAUUUAAUAAAUGGGUAUAAUGCCCAAUAAUACCCAAAACCUUAAACUCAUUUAAUAAAUAAGUAUAAUUGAGUAACCAACCAAAUAUAAUUAACCCAUUUAGAAUUAUUUUUACAAUCACAUCCAUUUAGAAUUGUCUUCAGCAAUAAUAUCCUAAUUUCUUUAUCACCUUUGACCAAAGGUAGCAUCAAAAAGUGGAGAACCAAACGGAAAGGUGGGAAAAUAUGUUAGCCAAUUUUUAACUAAAAGAAUAACUAUGCACUUGGAGAUUUUUCUGUCCUGUUUUCAUUUGUAUUUUCCUAGUAUCCAGUUUCAAGUUCAUAAGUUGGUCAAUCAUUGUUUAAUCUGUCUUUUUCAUGGUUCCAAAUCCUUUCCCUAUUGCACAACAAAUUAUUCAAUUAUUAAAUAGUAUUUAAUUUUGUCACACAGCACAUAGAUGGAAAAAAUGUUGGUAAUUAGAUUUAUCGGGCAUUAUAAGUAAAUAUUUUAAAAUUAAUGAUCGGUACAAACUGCAAAUGGUGGUAUCAAUUGAUAAUUUAGUGUAUAAAAUAAAUUUAGAUGAGUUUGUAAAAAGUUAAAAUAAAUGAAUUGUAAAUGAAUAAUUGGACUACUAACUCAUUUUUUUAUUUAUUCACUUAUAUGAAUAUCCAUCUAAUUAAAUGAGUAUAAAUGGAUUGACUCACUUAUAUCCAUUACCCAUUUUAACCCGUCCAGGUUACCCAUUUUGAUUGAUAAUCAGCUCUCUUUUUCUCACCUUUUUUGGUUCCUUGCGUACCAAAGUUGGAAGACAAAAGGAGAAUCAAAAAGGAAAAUGGAAAACCUCAAGAAUGCAAACCAAUAAUGCUAGAAAGUUUCUUCUUGAAGUUAUGGGUCAAAUUUGGUUCCUUUUUAGCCUGCCUCAAUCACCAGGAUCAUUGUCGGCUUUACACUUUGCUGAACAACCGGAUGGCACUCAGAAAUCAGUAGACUCUCGAAGCAUCGGAUGCCCAUACAAAGGAAAGCGAGUGAUUCAGAUCCCAUAUUCCUUUGGAUAAAAUAUCAAUUAACAUAGCAAAACUUAUUUGGUCAAGGCUCCGAUUUAUAUCAAUUUCGAGCCCCAGCGAAAAGGGUAACACACUCAAGUCAAUUCGGAGACGGCAAUUAUCGGAUGGAAGAGAAGACAAUUACGUCAAGUCCCCGUUAAUAUCAUCAAUCCAUAGAUGUGGCAAAACUUCAAAGUCGCCGUUCUACGACCGACAUUGCCGUUCCCAUAAUCCGGACAACCGCGUUUAAGAGUCCGAAGCCAGAUAAAUCCCAAAAGCCAGUCAACCAUUUUUGUCUUUUCAAGCACAGGGUACUAAGUUUAACUCAUUAUCCAGAUUAACCGGAAAAAAAAAAAAUAUAUAUAUAUAUAUAUAUAUAUAUAUAUAAUAAUAAUUAGGAGAUUUUUAAUUGAACUACAUAGACAAGAUAUCAGACACCAAGUUUAUUGGACAUAGACAUGUAUACGUUGGCCAAACAAAUACUCCAAACGAUCAGCAACUUCGAAAGAAAAAAGAGGAAAAAGAAGUAAUAUGUUCUUUUAAUGCACUGAACGUGACAUUUGAUGGUAGCUGAUCUACAGGUAUAAAGAUUUUUCCUACUGCUAAUCUGGUGUGAAAAUUCAAAGCAUUGGCCCCCAAGCGAGAAAAAAAAAAAUGGUGGUGUAGUUUUAUUCCAUUCAUCCACCCACUUACAAAAUCAAAAGAAAGACUACACUUGAGACUGCUAAUACCAACGUUUUGGACCCAAACCUCCUUCCACCUUGGAUUUCCUGAAACAUUGCACGUCAUCAGAUUUAAUAUUGAUAGGAGGAUAAACUAUGAAUCAAUCAAAACUAUAGAAACAUGACAAGGACUUAAAAAAUCUCUUGCUCAAGUCUCUGGCUGACGGAGGGAAAAAAGAAAAAGAAAAAGCCCAUCACUUUGAACCAAACAUUGAAUUGUAUAGCAUAUGCUGGUGAUACCCAAGAACUGAAAACGCAGAAAGAAACAUUUGAAAACAUAACCCUUUAUCUUGCUAAGAUGAAUUGAGACAAGUUGCCCAAAUGAUAAUUUUUCAUGCUACUUUUAAAAAAUUAGAGCUGCAUAAUCUUUGCUCCAACGCCAGGCGAAAGCUGUGGCUUAUAAUGUCAGUGAGAGAGUAGGACACUGAAUUGACAGUUCGAGAAGUCAAGAACAACACAAACUCAAGACGACAAUGAGUGACAAUUUUACCUCCAUUUCACAUGCAUCUGCAUAAACUAGAGGAUUCCAGGAAACAACAAAAAAUUUUGCCUUUCCAGUUAAAUUGAGGUAAUGUUUAACUUAAGAAUUGACUAAAAUGGCCGGGAGUUCGUAAAACAUUAAGCUAAAAGCAGAUUACACAAUAAUUAGGUUGGUAGAUAGAUAAAAAUCCAUGGCUGGGUCAUAUAUCUGCCAUGCUCCCAUGCCUUGGCCCACACAUUAUAACAUUUAGACAAUUUAGAGUAUCAUAAAUUAUCUGAAGAACUCAGUUAUUUUGGGUGGUCAAGUAUAGAAGUUAGAGGUGAGGAAAGUAUUUAGAUAAUUUAGAUUAUGAUAACACCUCGGCCUUCAAAAAGCCUACCAGUACCAUCCAGCAAGCCCCUUUUCAUUUGCACAUACUUUCAAUCAAUAGACCUCCAAAAGGGGAUAGUGUUGCAAAAGUGUUCCACUUAAGGUUCAGCAUAUUACAAGUUAGCAUAGUAUUGAACAACAUGAUUAUUACGAAAUUGUUCAAGACCUUUUGAUCAGAAUUAAGUAGGUAUAUGAGAUAUCAAAAGAGUAUUGCUUACUCAUUACAAAAUUUAGUUAUGCAUUCAUGAAAAGAGGAAGUCAACGUCAACAUUGAGAACACUUGUCAAUAGGAAUUUUCCUUUUGCAAGGAUUUACAAAAAGUUCAACUCAUUAUAUCCGUAAAAAAAUGUAGGAACUGAAACCUUAAAAGACAAACCUUCAAAAUCCAUAAUUGAUUAUUCUUUCAAAUUAAACUUUGUGCAAAAUCACAUACUAAUAUUUAUAAAAGGUGCCAUCAACAUAUAAGCUCAUGAGAAUGAGAUGGUCGAGCAUAAGAAGUAUAAAAGACAGUUUGGUGGUGCUUUGAAUGAUAUCCAUUUUCAGGGAUUAAAAAAUUUACAAGACUUUCAAACUCAGAGGAUAUUGUUUGACAGAAUCACCUGAAAAAAAAACAUAUCCUAAGAAUCUUUAACUCUAGCCCAUGAAUUCUUGCAAAAAUUGCUUACAAUAACAUAUGAGACAAUAGCACCUAAAAAUUAACAUACUUCCUAGAUCCAGGAUAGGUUAGCAAACAUGAUUUAUUACACACCGAAUUUGCUAAGCUAAAAAAGAUGUUAUUCAAGGUUAACUCUUUCGGUCCUAGGCUUCAACAUCUUUUCUAGAAAACACCAGCCCCAUACCCUAACCCCAUACCUAAGAAUGAUCUUCUUAUCCAAAAUAGAAGCAAUAUAGUCUGUCAGAGCCAUAGCAUUUAGGUCAUCCUCUGAUUGCAUAUUUCUGUUGAAAUGUUUGUAAAUGGAAAUUUUAACACACAGUACGCUGAUAUCUCAGAGGAGAAAGACAAUUUUUUCUGUUCAAAGAUUUCAGAGUUGCAUAGCAAAAGAUGCACAAUUCGCCAAACAAACUGUUUUCAUGUUAUAGAGAAAACUGUUCCAAGACACUAUAGGGGCAUAGAAGUGGCUCCUUUGGUUCUUGCCCAAUUAAUGAUUUCCAGAAUUUGAAAGCAUAACAGGUGAUUUCCUUUCCUACAAGUGUUUUUAUCAAUAGAGAAAGGAUAUUUUUGCAAUUUCACAAUCUCUAAGAGAGUAAUAGGUAGUGUGGAAUCGCAGGGAUGCUGUUUUGUGAAAAGGUCAAAAUCUUUUUAGACAUCUUGAGAACUCAUAAGGGUAGAGAUUCUGCAAGCCAACAGUUGUUAUUACGUACUAGACUGGUUAAGAAAUGGUCAAGAAAUACCAGACCAGUAAAUAAAUGGUCAAGAAUGAUUUGAACUUCAGCACAUAUGUUAUCCUCAAACUCCUGAAUGCCUGAUUAGACAACCAAUAAGGGAGCUGGGUCUUCAUCCAACAAGCUUCUGCACCUCUGAAGUUAAAACGACCUACUAUCUUCAGUGCCCCAAGAAAAGCUAGAUCCCAUCUUCAUACUACUCCUUUAUUACCAUCAAUUGUUUCAUCAAACAAUUUCAAAGUUUUUACCCCAAUUCCGCAAAAAGGAUAUGCUAUGAGUGUAACUAUCAUAAUCCUAAAGAUAAUAAUUAAACAAAAUCCAAAGAAUUAUGUCAAAGUUUACGGAGAACACCAGAGAGGAGGCAAAGUUCAAGAGGUAUAGCCGAUAACUAAUCACAAUAAAGGCAUAUGAGGAUACCUUCAAAGAAACUGCAGAUGAAGAUUUAAGUCCAGGAAACCCAAUGUCAUAUGAAAUGCUCAUGUCAGGUUUGUAUAGUCCAUAGUUCUUCUCAGAAGCUGCACCAGGCUUUUGAUCUUCAUUAAACAACGCAAAAAUAUAUGCUUUCAACACAGUUUUUGGCCUCAAAGGUGUUCCCUUCUUCUUAGCAAGCCUUUUCCGCAAAUUAUAAUUGUAUGUCCUAGCAUUGUUUUGUGUGGCAGCGGGCUCAUUCUGGUCCCCUUGAGAAGCCCAUCCUGUCUCUGUAAUUAUAACUUCCAUCUUUUUAUACCCAGCAUCUUCUAAAGCAGCAUAAGCUGCAUCUAUCUGAGCAUCAAGCAAAUUAUCAUAAUGAAGGUUGGUUUUCUGAUCGUGUAUACCCUCAUUUGGCUGAAAGAGGGCAUAGUUUACAUCAAUUUUGUCCGAGGCAUAGGUGUAAGCCAGAAAGGGGUAAGCAUUUAGACAAAAAGGGGACUUGAUUUGAGAAAAAAAGUCCAAGAGCGGCUUCAUAUAUUGAGAAACACUCUCUUUGAAAGUACAGUUGGAAGGAGGGAAUGAAUUGUCGAAAACACCCGAAAAAUGAGCAGUGGAGAUCUGAACAAUAUCAUCUAUCCCCAACUUUUGGGUUGCAUUAUGGAGAUUUUUAACUGCACCCAGUAAAGAUCCCCAAAGAUCGGAAUUAGCACCAUUUCCCAGAAUUUCGUUACCAACAGCAAUCCCAACAAUACGCGUAUCAGGAAGAAAUGCCUUCACAUUAUCUUUGACCCAAGUCAAUGCGUGAUCUACGUUAGUACUCAUUUCCUUCACAUGGUCAUUAGGAAGUCCAAUUAUUAACUCAAGUCCAGUGCCACUAAAGCCCUGGAGAACACUAUGAUCCGCAUCAUAAAUUCUGACAUUCUUUAUCUUUGCUGCCCUAAGGAGUUUAGCAACUUUGUCUGGUGGAGGAAGGUUAUCUGCAAUUCUCCCGUAAUUGAUUCCAUAAGUUCCCGUGAAUGCUCUCACUGUGAGCUUUGCUGAAAUGAAAAACAAAGGAAACAGUUGUAACCAAGAAAGAAAACUGUCCGUGACACCAUGAACCUGAAUAGUUUGAAUACAAACUCAUACAUUUGCAAAGGCUUCGUCUUUCAACCCAGGAUACAGUCAGCAACAAACACAGAUUUAAAUUAGACCAAUGGCCAACAAAAGUUUACACAUAAUUAUAUAAGAUCUUUAAUCAAAUCGAACCAUAUUAUUACCAAACCCCCCCCCCCCAAGUCUCAAUACUAGUUACCAUUUCAACGGAGUCAAAUGCGCGCUCACACAACACACACAUUCCCAUAGGCCACCAAUGUCGCAAUUAGAUAGUUGUGGCACAAGAGUAGCAUAUGAAGAGUAAAUAUACUGCCCAAUCAACUGCUGAUAUCUUCUUAAGCGCACAGCUCAUAACAUGUGAAUCUAAAUUACGAGUGCCAUGCAGACAAUUUAGAACUUCAAAAUCAAUUGAAAGUUACAGACUUAAGUCGUACAAACAAAUAAUAAAUGAGAAGAAGAAGCAGCCAACUGAUGAAAUUUCACCAAGAAUAAAAACCAAUUUCCAAUUUAAAAAUGAAGAGAUUGGGAAAAGCAAACGAAAAAGAGUACUUAGUUUUCACCAGCAGCACCAGCAGGAUGGAAAAAAUACUGUUCUUUGGACUGAUCUUUAAAAAUUAGAAAUCAGAAAAAAGCAGAAGCAGAAAUCAAGAAUAAGAAAAGCUGUAAUCAAGAACAACUGAAGCGUACCAUUUCCGGUGAAAAGGUUGAAGGCCAAGAGCAGAGAAAUGAACCGCACGCAAAAUUGAAGGAUCCUCAUUGAGAUACGUAACCAAGAAACCCCAAUAGGACGCCCCCGCUGUUGUUGUCUUGUCCUGCUGCUGCUACUGAUGUUCUUUCAAUUGAACAAUCCUUCCUCCUACUACUCAACCAUGCCAUUAACCCACUACCAAAAUUUCAUUCCUUUUCUAAUUUUCGCUUUUCUUGACAAGCAGUACUAGUAUGGUGGCGCCAUCAAUAAUCAGUGCCGACCUUUUUUCUUAGCUCCAUCUUGUCUUGUCUUUUGGUUAGCUUUUCAACCAGACCCUUUUCACAUCCAACAAUAACUAAAAAAUAAAUCAGAUACUCCCAGAAAUAGUAGACUGAGCGGCGGCGGUGGCGGCGGGCGGCAGAGGGACACGGUGAUGGGUUUAGGGGUGGCUUUCUUUUCUCUAGUCUCGGCUGUUAGCCUGUUACUUUAAAUAAUUUUGGGUUUAAUAACUGAAUUUAAGUCGUGUGUACUCUCUGUAUUUGGAAUUUUGGUUGUGCUUUUUUCUUUUUGGUGACUGUCUGUAGCUUGAUAAUGGAGAUUAUUGAAGCUGUGCCAGAACAGUAUAAUAGACUUACUAUUUGAAUAUGUGAAUUGUCUGUGCGAAAAAGACUACUAAAACGCUGAUUCAAAACGAAAGAAAGGAAGACCAGUCCAGUCGAACUGUGUAUCCGUCUUGCCAUUUUUUUUAAUUAUAUAUUAUCCUUCAAGUGGCCACCACGCCCUUCCCACAAAGUCAUGUUGACAAGGCCCACUUUUGUUACUUUUUUUGUUUUCCUCGUUUUUUAGAGACAAAUAUACUCUUUUCAAGGGAAUAAAAUUCAGUGUUUUGAGGAGGAGAACUAACGGGAUUCUUUUAAUAUGAUUAUUAGUAAGUCACCCUUGGAAAAAUCAUUUGCAAUAAUAUAGCACUUUUUAUGAGAUCCUUAUAUUAUAUAAGACUGAAUUUUAGUCAAAAAAAUAGGUUGAAUUUCAACCGCAUAGGUGGGGGCUUUCUAAAAAUGUGAAAUAUUGUGUAUUAGUUUAAAACUUUUAGAUACAAAUUAAGGAAACAUAUAUUUGGGUAUGUUUACUGAAAUAACCCCAUUUUAAUAUAUUUAAAGUUGUCAUUGAUGAGCCAUCUGAGUAGAGGUGGCAAUAUGGAUAAAUGGUUCAUAAUUGGUUUUGACUUAAUGGAUGGUGGAUGAAAUUUAUCCAAUCCAUAUAGAUCCAUUUAAUAAAUGGAUCUAAAUGGAUGGAUCUAAAUGGAUUAAAUAAAAAUCAAUUAUCCAUUUAUAAUCCAUUUAAAUAUUUUGGUUACUUUGUUUUUGUAUUACCAUUUCUUGUAAUAUGAAUAGUUUUGAGAAAAAGCCGGAGUAUUUAUAAACACAAUAAUCUUGGACUAGUCUAAAUCGUGAAUUUCUGGACGUCCUAAUCACUUUUUUUCUCACCUUCAUUAAUUUGAUGUGGAUCUAUUCUGCAAGUUUCCGUUAAUAAUUCUACAGCAUCUGAGAUGUCAAUUAACAACCACAUGCCCCAAGUCUUCAGCGUGCAAAGGGCGUUGGAAAUUAGUUAUGUUUAAGUUGUUAAGAUUUUCCCACUCAAUCCUUCAUUCAACAGCUGUCACAUGUGGUCCUUCAUUCCCAGUUGGUUCUAGUUAGAGGGGUCUAUCCAUUUCUUUUAUUUGGUUUUUAGGGAAAUGGAUAUAUGUGGUUUUUGUGGAUAAUCCAUAUAAAUCCAUUUAAUAUAAUGGUUUUACUUGGGUCAAUCAUUUAAAACCAAUACCAUAAAUGGAUAAUCCAAAUCCAUUUAAUUAUGGAUUAUAUGGAUGGAUAAAUGGAUCUCAAUCCAAAUUGCCACCUCUACAUAUGAGUAUUGAUGGAAUGUGUAAUUAGUGUACAACCGUUUUUGCAUUUUGUACAACCUAUAUAUGCUUGUAUGUUGGUGUAAUUAUCAGAAUAUCCCUUAACUACCAAUAAUUUUCCUUUUCAGCCGCAGAUAAUCGUUUGAGAUGUUGCUUUAUCUGAAACGUUUGAAUGGCAAUGGGAUUUAGGAAAUGAGCCGACGAUUUCUCUAUCAAUGGUAGGAACUAAUUUCUCUAUCAUUUAUAAUCUGCAUUUAUGAGCCACAAACGUUCGUCAAUUUAUCCUCUUUCGAUUUCAGGAGUUAAGUUUUUCUUUUUUGUCUUUGUCUACAACGAUUUGCCUCAUCAUUUUCUCUUUCAUCCGAAUUUAACUCUGAAAUUACCUAUUAUCUCAUUAUUAAUUACACCCAAUUCAAUUGUCAAACCAUUGGUAUGUUAAUGUCCAAAUUAAGGAAACAUAUAUUUGGGUAUGUUUACUGAAAUAACUCCAUUUUAAUAUAUUUAAAGUUGUCAUUGAUGAGCCAUCUGGGUAUUGAUGGAAUAUGUAAUUAGUAUACAGCCGUUUUUGCAUUUUGUACAACCUAUAUAUGCUUGUAUGUUGGUAUAAUUACCAGAAUAUCCCUUAACUACCAAUAAUUUUCCUUUUCAGCCAUAGAUAAUCGUUUGAGAUGUUGCUUUGUUUGAAACGUUUGAAUGGCAAUGGGAUUUAGAAAAUGAGCCAACGAUUUCUCUAUCAAUGGUAGGAACUAAUUUCUCUAUCAUUUAUAAUCUGCAUUUAUGAGCCACAAACGUUCGUCAAUUUAUCAUCUUUCGGUUUCAAGAGUUAAGUUUUUCUUUUUUGUCUUUGUCUACAACGAUUUGCCUUAUCGUUUUCUCUUUCAUCCGAGUUCAAUUCUGAAAUUACCUAUUAUCUCGUUAUUAAUUACACCCAAUUCAAUUGCCAAACCAUUGGUAUGUUAAUGCCUAAACGGUUGAUUAUCAGUUUCUCCCUGUUCGCAUUCUAAGAUUGGAAAAAUUCUACCUAGCUUCAUACUAAUCAGCUCAAAAUGCUCUUCAGUCCCAGCUACUCCUGUUGGUUCAGCGUGAGGUUAGAUUUCACCCCCCCAUUUUUCAGUUCCUCCAUUAAUUUUGUCGGUAUGUUCUUAGUACUUACAAUUAGCGACUCUUAUCGCGUUGCCUAAUUGCAAGAUAGCAUUUUUCGCUUUACCUAACCCCAAUUGGUUUGGGUUGAUUAUAAUCUUAUAGGUUUGGAGAAACAGCAAUAAAGAUCUCUCGGUGGGGAUUUUAGAAAAAUGUUAGUUUUUUGUGUUGCUCUGCCUUUCUGCAUUAUCAACGACCUUCAAUUUCACAUAGUUUUAUUGUAACACUGUGUGAAUUGAUUGAUUAUAUCGUUUAUCUUUUCAUAUUAAGUUUUAUUUCUUCUCACAAUGUACUAUUGUUUGUUCAACAAAAAAAUCAUAUUGAGUUUGUUUGUGCUAACUUGGGGAACCAAAAUCAGAGCAGAUAUCAUGGAAAUCACUUAUUAAUUGCAGACCGUAAAUGGAAGGCACUAAACACCCGCGCAUUGUGCGAGCACUCCGCCUAGUUAUGUCUAUGAAAUAAUAAGAAGGUAUGCAUUUAUAAUGCAACUAAAUAAUGUUUUUUGCAAAUAAUUCUUGAUCCAAACACACUUAUAAAAUUAUAACUGGCCAUUAUUAUAGGUAAUAACUCACAAAUAGUAGAAUGAAAACUAACAUGUAGUUAUUAGAAUACACUUAUAUUUAAUUCUUGAAAUAGAAUGAAAUCACGCCUCUUGUCCAAGUAAAAUAAUAAUUGGCAUGUAUGGAUAGGAGAUUAAUUGUCCAAGUAAUAUUUUUUGUGAUAUAAUAUAUAUGAGAUAAAAAGGACAUUUAAAAAUAUUAAAAAAAGUUAGUUAAAAAUAUGUUUAUGAUGCAAAUUAAAUAAUAGGAUUAAUUGUAAUUUAUCCCCUUAACAUUUAUUUUAUGUUACUUAACCUCCUGAGAGACAAAAUAUCCCUCUACUAAAUAAUUUGUUCCCAUAUUUUGUAUUGUCUUUUCUCUUUUUUUAAUUCCAGAUCGGUUUUAUUUUAUCAAAAUUUUAUUUCUAAGAAAAUAAUAAAUUUCUCUAAUUCCAAUUUAAGAAAAAAUUUUAUUCUAUUUCUUUAUAAUUACACUAUACACAGUUAAUUAUCCACUUUUACAAUCGCACAUUCAUUUGUCAACGCUAGACUUUUUCUCCUAUAAUGAGUUUUUUUAAAUUAAAAUCUCAUUUUUUGGCCUUUUUAAAAAAAUAAUCAAUUGAUAGUGUAUUCCUUAAUAUAUGCACUGAUCUUAUGCAAAACUUUACCCACCAUCAAUUAAAGUCGUCAAAACAAAAUCGCAGGUUAAAAUUCGAUGAUUAAAGGAAGUAGAUAGUUUGAAAAUUAAAAUUUAGCAUAAUAGAGAGGUAUUUUUGUCUUUUAGGAGUUUAAGUGAUCAUAAAAAAAAGGUUAGGGGGUAAAGUGAAAGUUAGGGUAAAUUUUGAGGAGAUAAAUUGUUAUUAAUCCUAAAUAAUAUUAGAAAAAAAUCCAUACUCCAUGAACAAAAUAAAGAGCAGGACGAAGAAUCAAACAGCCCACCUAUUAGCACGCGAAAUCCGAUAAACUACUCAAAUCUAAUCAAUCGAAAGAUGAUGGAAUAUGUUAAAGUUCAUAGAUGAUCCAUGGUGGAACUUGUUCGCUCAAUAGUAGGCUACAUUUUCCUCGAUUACCCUUUUUUUUCGGUUUGAUCGGGGAGAAUAAAGAUUUUACUUUAGCUUGACCUUAUACUAGUACGUAAGAUUUAUGUUUUUUUAGGGGAAAAUGUUUAUGUUUAAAAAAGAAAAGAAACAAAAAAGCUAUUACCAAACAAAUCCAAGCUGUUGGCUGGAUGGUGUUGAUCUGUGAAUCUCCCUUAAACUAGUCAUUGACUUGAUUUUUCGAUGACUUUUGAACGUUUCUAAUCUAAUUUAAUUGUGUGUGUGUUUCUACUGUCAAUGGUAAAAAACAAAUCCAAGCUCAAUUGAUUUACUUUAUGGAGCCCAACCGUCCACAAUCAAGUUGUGAGGACUGCAAUCAACCCUUUUUAAGUUUUAAUCAUUAGUCAUUGGACGAUUUGUAGAGUUCCUUAGGAGCUACGACAAACACAACGACUCCCCACUUUCCAUGGUGUAAUAAUAAACGCGACAGUGGUGACAGACACAAAUCCGAACCUCUAUAACUGGUUUGUAAAACUAUUUUUAUUAUCAUAUUUAGUAUAAGUUUAUAUAAUUUUAAUUGAAUCGUGAAUUGUAAUUAUAUGAUUUAUAAAUUUAAGCUUAUACCCAAAUUAUAUGAACUUAUAUAAAAAUUUAUAAGAAUUAUAACAAUUAAUUUUGAACCGGAGAAAAUUCAAGUUACACAACUAGAGAGGCGUAUUGUGUAUCUUUAAGGCAAGACUUUAUACAGUUUAAAGAAAUUUGUCUGAUUGAAAGGCUGAAAAGGGGCCCCACGAGUAGUUCGGGCAAGACUGAUAAGUCCAUCUUUACGGUAAGAUCCCGUGUCCGACCCUCGCUAUGAUAAAAUUGAUGGCAAUCUUGGGCACGGCUCUGCUGUCUUAGGGAAAUUAGUCUGACCAAAAAGGCUGAAACACCCCCUAAGUGAAAAAAAAAAAAAAAAAAGGCUGAAAAGGGGAUAAUACCACUAAUAAGACUGUACUAUGUUGUCAAUUUGUUGUCUCUGGGCUCCCACACCCACCAAGUCUAUCGAGCCUUGUGACUUGUGAGCCUAUGAUCCAAUUUCCAAACGGCAUUAUCAAUCGCCGUCCCCCACUGCCCCUUGCCCUGUCACAUGUGACAUGGCACGACAUUGACCUCGUCCCAUCCUUCCAAAGAGUCAUCUUCGUCUCGCCUUCCGUGAAUUUUGAUUUACCAAGUUGCCAACGACUGCCAAUGCAAUUUCGCAACUGGCUUUUCCUUUUUCCCACUAAUUAAUUAUUCAAAAUUAUAGCACCCCUUUUUAUUGUAUUGUUUAGGACUUUUGGAAAUAUUUGUUUUUUAAAAAAUAACAUUGUAAUACUCUUUUGCAACGUAAUAUAUAUAUAUAUAUAUAUAUGAUAAAAAAAUUAAAAAACAUAUAUACUAAGAGAGUACACUGCAAAUUUUUUUCAAAAAAAUUAUUAAAAAAAAAGAUCUUAGAGUUUUGCUCGAUUUCUUAAAGUUUCGUAGCUGUUUAUUGUAGCAGCAGUUCGGUAACUCUGGUUAAAAGCUAAAUAAAUGGAUAUAAUUAAAGGACCCCAAAAAAAAAAAAAAAAAAAAAAACUUACCAACACGAAUAAAGUAGUGGAAAAUUCGAAGAUAUAGGGUUUGCUUCUCUUGCUUGCAUGAAAUGGAAUGCGAUGUUUCCUAGUGAAGAGGCUGAGUCGAAAACCUUCGUCAGCAGACUACACUUUCAAGAAUUACGCAUGGGACACGUAACUCCAAUCCUACACGUUGCAGACAGAUCCUUCAUCGAUCCUUUUUGUUUGUGUAAAAGAUUCAAGAAUAUGCAAGUCAUUAUCGUCAAACCACUAAAACCUCCCGUACUCAAAAGUAGUAUUUCAAAGGAGAAAUUGAUAAAAAGAACAAUAGAAAAAGGUUAUCACAAUUGCAUGAUCUCAUCGUUUUGUCAAUUACAAUACCCGGAGACUUGCUCGAGAAAUUGGUUGACUUGGUUACGGAGUUUUUCCCACUUCCGUUCCUAGAUUUGGAAUAUCUUAGCUCCUAAGGUUCUAAUUAAGCUCCCAAUAUAGGAGGAAAAGGAGAGAAUGUAGGAGUAACAAACAAGAUUAGCGCGUCAGGCAACUUGAUUGUAUACAUAAUAAAAUAUUUGUGUUGAUUUUACGUGAUAGCUUGUCCUAGCUGCGAUCGAUCGCCUCAGACGAUAAUCUAAUUCUAUGAUCGUCGAUGUUCAAAUUUCCACAUUGAAUAAUCAUUUUAGUUGGCGCAGUUGGUACAAGUUGGCCAACCUCUAAAGUUUCAGUGGGGCAAUUACUUAGCACUAUGACUAGAGUUAUACUACUGUCUUAGCGUGGGUGUAUACUUUGUUUAGCUAUAGGGAGCAGUAAAGGGCUGCAUCUUCUUGCUAUAGUUUAAUUGUAAAAUUAAGGGUUAAAAACAAAAAUGUUCCCUGUGGCUGUGGUACACCUAAUACACAGAAAAAUCUCCCCGUGGUUUCAAAACAUACAAAACGAUACCCUCAUGUUUUGAACUAAAUUGUAAACUAGCAAAAUUCGUUAAACUUAACGGAAUCCGAUAAAUUUAACGGAAAAUUUAACGGAAUCUGGUAAACUUAACGAUAAAUUUAACGGAAUCCAAUAAAUUUAACAGUUGAGACCAUCAUUUUCGUUAACUUUUAACGAAUUCUGUUAGUUUACAAUUUAGUUCAAAACAUGAGGUGUCGUUUUGAAAUCACGGAUGACUUUUCUGUAUAUUAGGUAUAUCACAGGAGACUUUUUUAUUUUUAACCCUAAAAUUAAUCAUGCCUCUCCUUAAACAUACAUGUCAAACGCGUCUUUUUUUUUUUUUUUUGAUUAACGUAAGUAAGAGAUUCUAAACCUGAACCACCCACUUGUAAUUUCUUUCAACUUAUCAUCAAACUUAACCGUCCCACCACCAAAAGGGGCAUCAUUUGGUGAAAGCAAAACUGAAAAAGAAUCCCACGGGUCUACCAAACAUUUUUGCGUUUUCGGACAUGAAGACAAGACGCCUUGGAAUAUCUAUUGGUGAAGCAUUAAUCAUAUCUGUUACCAUCGUCGCUUUAAACGUUGAUUGGAAUUAUUGGGUAAGCAAAAAAGGCAGGUGAUCUUGAAUUUCUAUACGUGUAAACAUAAGAUAAAAUAUUAGAACAGCCUUUCGCCAAAUCAAAGCAAAAAAAUGAAAAGAUAUGAUAUGAUAAAAUGCUCGGCUGGGUGGACGGGUACUUUAGCAGGCUCAAAGUUUUGCCAAUAUUAAUACAUAUUCCAUAAAGUGUAUCAGAUAAAACGAAAUGGAAAGUUGGAAGACCUUUUAAGCUGUCGAGCUUAGAAUGGUCCACUAGAUAAUUCCGCUUCCUUAAAGUUUUAACCACGAGGGGUGGAUGGAUGUAUAGCACUUUUGCUUUUGCGUCUCCAGCGAUGGACUUAUUAUGAUGGGCCGAAAAAGAUCCUUGAAAACUUUAUUGAAUAACGUCCGACUUUAAAGAAACGCCUUUAAUGCUGGCUACAGAAGAAUGGAGCUUUAAUUCAUGCAGUAAUACAUGAUUCUUCUUAAUAAAGUUGAUCCAGACACUUUCCCAGAAGCUGCUGACUGUCAUGGAAUACCCGGGUUUUCAAGAACUCCUACACCAGAACUAGGCCCAGCCCAGAACCUAAUAACACCGGUGACAUUGGCCGCUGAUGGGUUGAGACCUUCUCCAUUAUUUUUCUCUUUGUUUAUCUAUUCAUUUUUUUUAUACUUAUAUAACUAAUUUUUUGCGCAAUAAUUUGUUUGUCUCGAUAAUUUUAUUUUCACGAGUAGAUAAACAUAUUUAAAAAUCAAGCUCAUCCAUGAACGUUUUGUCAUUCAAUUUGCGCAAAAUACUUUCACGGUGUGAAAUGGGUCAAAAUUAUGAUAAAACUUGUAAAAUUUAAUUCAAUGGUACAAUUUCAUCAAUUUAAUUUCAAUUUUUUAAAAAAUGUAUAUUAUAAUUAUAUUUAUUCAUGUGUAAUGGAGAGAAAUUUCUCUCCAAUUGAUGAAGAGAACCCUAACCUGUUGCCGAUAACUCUAACAGUACAUAACUCUAACAAAAAAAAAAAAAGAUUACAAACGAAUUAGGCAUCCUUAAUUUUCUCAAAAUUUUCUUUUUCUUGGGGACAAGGCAAAGUUUCCACAUGCGAUGAAAAGUUUUUGAAGGACGAUAAUUGUACUAUAUUACGAUGGUUACUUCGAUGUUCAAUUUUUUUUUUUAAUAAAAAAGAAAGUGAUGCCACAGUUAGUUGUUCGUUCAUAUCAGCUUCACAAGAAUCACAGCUACAAGUAUGGGCUUUGAAGACAAAACACAUUUGUCCAAUAAUAAGUAAGGCCCAGUUUAGGUCCUAAAAAGGCUUAAAAGCCAUGGGUGUCGUAGACCAUUACCGUUUCCCGAGAAUUGCUUGAGACUACGCAUUUUUAUUCGGUGUGAGGAAUUUGUUUGUCUUAGUCUCGUUGUGGUUUUCACUUAUUCCACGUUUGGAGCCGUCCUUUGUUUUGUUAUUAUCAUGUUUUUAUUUGAAAGAGUAACUUCUUAAUAUUUUAAUACACAUCCAUUAAGUGAAUAUUUUAAAUUCAAAUGAUACAUAUAUAAUAAAGUCAUUAAUGCCAUCUCAUCUAAAUAUAAUGAUUACUAUAUUUUCAUAAAAAAGUUAAAUUCCCAAAAAAGAUUCCAAUAUUAGAACGGGAGGAGUAGAUAGAAUAUGCACCGUUUUUUGGUAGAUAAUGAAGUACUAAUAUUUACAAAGAAUAGGGGUUAAUUGGGUCUCCCCAAUUUAACCCGCUAAAUGUCUCCAAACAAAAAAUGAUCUAAUUUUGUCGGUGGUUAACUAUUGUAGAUUCGACGUCUAAAUUUGCUCGGAGAGGUGCGCGCACGGACACACAUAUUAAAGUCUAAUUUGAAAUCCAUGAGGCUGAGUCUUGCAAUUGGGCACGAAAGUGCAAACAUGAGGAAGCACUUCACACUAGGAAAUAGGAAUGGUAACGAGGCGGGGAAUCCUUCCCCUGCCCCUCCCUCACUCCGCUAUUCAAACAUUCCCCCUGCCCCCAUCGCUUGCUCCCUCGUCCCACCCCGCUUUCCUGUGGGGAUUACUAGAAAUUUGUCCUAUUAAGAAAAUUUAGCCAAAUUCUAGCUAACAAUCAAGUAUUUUAAACACUAACACAUCACCAAGUCAUUGUGAACAUAUAAUCCAUCGUAAUUUCACAAUAUUUAAUCCAAAAAAAAUAAACAAAUAUAUACGAUUUGAAUAUAAUCCAGCAUAAUGAGACAAAUAUAACUCAAGUAGCAAUAAAUAAAAGUGUAAUUAGUUAUGAAUUGCUGAUUGGGAAUGAGUGAAGAGUUGAGGAAGAAUGAAAUUAGGGUUAGUCGUGAAUUGUGAAAUGUUAAGUGUAAAAGAAUAAAAAUGUAAUUAGUAAUUUAGUAUAAAUGUAUUAGUAUAACUAAUCAGUAAUUUGUAUUAGUAAUAAUAUAUAAUUAUUAGUAUAACUAAUAAAAUUAAUUACAUUACAUAUACAAAAUCUGAUAUUUAUAACUAACAAUGUAGUUAUGAUAACUAAUAAUAUUGAAUAUUAUACAUAUAUAUGUAUUUUAGAUGGGUGACAGAACGGGUGUUUAAUCCCUCGUCCCCUGUCCAACAGAGGGAGAAAGUGAGCCCUUGCCUUAUCAUACAUGGCGAGAGCAUGCGCUACAAUUCCCAACCCUAUUUCACACUUGCUAUUCAAUAGAUUUAUACUCACCUCUAAAUUUAUACUUCACACUUGCUAUUCAAUAUCUUUUUGGAGUCAGAUUUUUUACAUUAACACCACAUAUAGCAACGUAUUUGAAUGCAUGUCACACGCGUAAAAGUUAUAAUUCAAAUUCAAAUCAAAAUCAAAUAGGAAUUGAUUAUCAUGCAUUCAGACCACCCUAUUUAUAUCAUGUUAGUAUAUAAAAAAAUUAUUUUCAUCUUUGCAGUGCAAAAAUAUAAGACAUAUAUAUUUUUUUUCCCUGAUAUAAGACAUAUACUUGAUAAUCCAAAGUUGAAAGCUGCCUCUUAUUUUGAUUGUCGUACAGGUUACAUUUUUUAUUAAAUGACUUUAAUGCCCUCGAACUCUUUAGUAAUGGUUCAGCUGACGCCAGACAGCAUAGCCUAGCAAGAAAUCUCGUAAUCUUAUCCUCUAUUUUUCCCAACGUCCAAAAUCGCCGCUAAAUCUGACUCUUUGCCACCGAAACAAACUGAAACAAAAGAUAAAAAAAGAGAAAAGAGUACUAGAAAGAGUGAAAAUGGCAAGGGUGCUGCUCUCAAAUGCAAAUAAUCUCCUCCCAUGCUUCCAAUCAUCAUCUUCCUCAACACCGUUAACAUCACUUUACCUUCACAAACAAAUCGUUAGGACUCAUCCCACCUCAUGCAAGUCAGCACUAUUGAAUCAAGAUUCUUCUUCUUCUUGUUCUGUUCUGACCACCAAGAGGAGCCUUUCCAUUAGCCUCACAACAGGGUUCCUCUUCUUUCUCUCUGGGAAAGGUUGUUCUGAUGCCAAUGCAGCUAUAUUAGAACCGGAUGAUGAUGAGGAGCUGUUGGAAAAGGUGAAGAAGGAUAGAAAGAAGAGGCUUGAGAGACAAGGUGUCCUCAAUUCAGCUGCUCAAGAGACAGGUCAACAAUCCUUCCCAAUAUUUCCUUGGAAUGUAGCCUCUAGAAAGUAUUUGCUACUUUGACUUUCGUGUCCUUUAGUUCUUUGACCUUGCUUCUUGAUUUUUUUUUUCUUUUGGUUUUUGGAUAAAGUUUCGAUUAUUCUUUUCUUUCCGUAAAGUUUUGAUUUUGUUUUCUAUAUCAGUUGAAUUGACACUGCAAGGUGAAGGGAUUAAAAGACUUUAGUCUUUAAGGCUAUGGUAAAGUUGGUUGGAGAUCGUUUAUGUUUUUCUAACACAGAUAAAUUGAGUUAACAAAUUAGUUUUCUCAUAGAUCAACAAAAAGUUGAAAUAUCCGUUUUUGCUGGUAAUUAGGCUGCUUUUGGAUGCCGCAUGAAGUCGAUUCCUCUUCGAAUUUAAGAGCCUUUUAUUGAAUCUUAGUCAUUCUUAUUGAAACAUUUCAUGUCAUUGCAAAACUCAAAAUUGGGGUCGGAAUGUGGAGAGACUUGAUUAUGGUUACUUUCAUAGGUGGUGAUUACAGUUUAGCCUGCAUUUGCUACUACCUCUUGGCAGUUGGCAAUCUGCAAGAAUCUCUUCAGCAAGUAUAGUUGUGAGAAUAAGGGAAUUACAAGCUUCUGCAGAAUCCUGACUUUUGUAACCUAAAUUUACGCUGUCGAACAUAGCAUAAUUUACACUGCAUAUUUCUCCAAGAUUUUACUGCAAUAAAACCAAUUUUGGAGGUACGAGGAUCGAAUUACCUUAAGUAAUUUGCUGGGCAGUAAAAAAGGAUAAUUUUUGUCCUAAAGGUCAGCUAUGAUCAUCUAUUGCAAAUAUUAUAUGCUUCCUGUUGGUUUCUCUGUGACCUUUUAUGGAUUGCAGAUUAGAAUGACUAGGAAAGUUCAGUAUGGAACAUUGGAGAAGAAUAAUUUGGGCUUACUAAAUCAAGCUUCAAGAAAAUUUUAAGUUACCAAAUGCUGUUUGCCUGCCCUAAGAUAAACAUAAAAGCUAAAACAAUUGCGUGUAAUUAAGAGGGAGCGGGGGAACCUAUUUGCCUUCCUAGAUUGCUUUUGGUUGGAAUUCACUUGUAUAUGGAAAUAAUUGGUUAGCACUGACAGAUAAACAUGAUAGAGAAAAGGUCAAGCCUGGCGACAGAGAUCCCUUAGUUAUUUAAUGUACCAGAUCUAUUUUGUUAAUGACUUAUACAAUAGUAGUGAUCUAGAAUCAACUUAUAUGAAUUACUGUCCCUUAUACGGAAAAUCUAGUUAGUUGAAGCCGUUUGGCAUAAGUGCUUUCACUCAUGAUGUAAGCACAAAUACUCAGAAACUUUUACCCCAGCUGAACUGGUUUCUCACUGGCUGGCAUGUAUCACCAGUGAACAUGAGAAAGCCUGGCUGUGUUUAACUAUGCAUUCUAAGAUCUAAUGGAUAGUUAUCAAUAGCAACCGUGCCACUCUUGGUUAUGUUACUAUCUUCAUGGAGUUGAAAAUUAUGAUCAAAGAUUACCGUUUGUGGGUUUACUUGUCCCUCAUGAAAGCAUGCACAUAAAUUUCAUUCAAGGGAUAGUGCUGUAUGCCAGUAAUAUUAUUAGCCAAGAUCUGAAUAGCUUUCAUAGUUCCUACAUCAGUCAACUGGAUUCUAUUAUUUGAUGUAAAUUUCCUUUUGCCCAUGCCCCUUGUAUUUUGUUUUAGCACAUAAUUGUGCUCCUAAUAUGCUUAUCUUCAUUCUUAGCUUGAAUUAAGUCCUUGGCGUGAAGUAAACUGAUGCCCUUAAAGCAUGACCUGAAUGUCGCAUUACGGUCUGAGCUUUUGGUCUCUGUCAUUUCUGGGAAUUGAUUAGCUAUUCUUUUUUAAUGCUGCAGGAUACUUGCAAGAGCUCGUUUACAAGCUCAGCAGAGUAGGCCAGGCAAUAGAGAAGAAUGAUCUUUCAACGGCUAGGUCAGUUCUUGGUCAAAGCAGUGAUACUGAUUGGGUACAAAAAGUUAACUCAGCUUUCAAGAAGGUAUCCCAUAGAUAAUAAUACUGUACAUGCCUUACUGUGUAGAUCUUGUCUAUAUGCAUUUACAUGCGUUAAUUGCCUAUCUUCCUGCAGUUGAGCUCUAGCCCUGAGGAGAAAUCCGAAGUAGAGACUUUUAGCUCCGCACUUGAUUCUUUAAUUUCAUCAGGUUUGUUCUGUGUGUUUGCAAGCGUGUUCAUCUUGGUUCCCACCAAAGGGUUGUGACUUGUGCAUGAAAACUAGUUUGCAUUGUGCAUGCAAUUAAUAUUGAGUGGUGAAAUAGUUUCAUUUGUUGCUCUGAGAGAGCAAUUGAUCUGUAAUUUGCAGUGACUAAGAAUGAUAUUGAAGCAUCUAAAACAGCAUUUGUGGCAUCAGCAUCUGCUUUUGAAAAAUGGACAACCCUAACAGGGUUGGUUGAAAAGCUUAAGGGGCUUUGAAGAAAAUCAAUCUGGCAAGAGAAUUCCAGCAAUUCCCCCAGAAUGCUUCACUAGCUUGCUUCUGGCUCUAACUCUAUCUGGUUGACUGCUGUCAUUAAUGAUCGCAAAAUUCUUUUAAUUCCAUGAGCUGUAUUAACUUCUCCAGCUUUGUAGUUAAGUGUUAAUGACAUUGAAAAUUUUGAUGUAAUUAUUCUUUGAAACCACCUCGACCACGCAAUUAAUUGAAUCAUUUCACAUAUUUGCGAUUCAAUGACCUUGGUUCUAUUGAAGUUGUUUCCUUUUUCUUUUGCCGUUGACUAAUUGGUGUUCGCCUCAACCUUGAACGGAAAUUUGGAAUAAAUGGCGCAUGUUGACAGUCACUACCUUUCUCUUUUGCAUGAUUAACUACGGGAUGGACCAUUUUUUUACAAAAGAUCGCGUAUUUAAAUUUUACGAUGCAAUGUAAGUUUUAUAUUAGUGGACCAUCCGUAAGAAUUCUUAUAUGCGGUGCGUCCUAAUCCAUGGUGACUACUAGGGUGGAACCAUCCAAAUUUUUUGUAUAUUUAAAAAAAAAAGUCUCAUCAAGUAGUAAUACCCCAAAAAAGUGGGGGACCAAUUCUUUUUGGGCACUCAGUCGCUAUGCAUCUCAUGGCCUUUUAACUAGCUCAACACUUUUCUGCAACGUUUAGACACCCAUCUCGCAUUGGUGUCAAAACUUUAACUGAAACAGCGAUGCUGACUGCCUGAAGAAGCUUGUCAAAGAGGAGCCAGCUCAUCUUAAUCACCUCAAAAAACUGCUGCAAAACAACUAACCUACUGAUAUCCGUAAGCUUGCGAGCCAAGGAAACUCGCGUUAACUGAAGAUGACUUAUUUUAUCAUUACAUAGACACAAUUCUGAUCGACAUGUUACAGAGAUCUAUGCAACCUACAAUUCCUUCAAUGCAAGGAAGGUUGGAAUGUUGAAGGCCUACUCUAUAAUGUAAGGUAGUAAUGUUACAAAGAUCUCAGUCACUACACGUUCAACGAAAGACAGCAGCGACAUUAACCUGCUAAUCUAUGAUUUUACAUACUACAGAUGUCUCGUGAACAAUCGGAGUAUCUAUUACUCAACAACAACACUACUGUCAUUCAAAAGAAGCCACCAGCCUAUGAAGGUCAGAACAAGAUAUUACAUAAACAGCAUUAUGUUUGAUAAAUUCAAGGCUUGGACUUGUCAACCUCUGCACGAUCGCCAUUCUGUAUCACACCACCCUCAGCCUUUUCGCUCACCAAGCUACUUUGCCCAUCAGCGCUCCUGUUUGCUUCACUAUUCUGAUCGACUUUCUCUUCUGCUUCCACUUCUUGCUUCUUUUCUUCAGCACCAGUUACCUGCUUGUCUCCUUCUCCAGUCCCAUCCUCUUUCUCUGCUUCGAUGGGUGGUAUUUGCUGUUGUUUUUCUUUGUCCUUGGCAUCUUCAGAGCCAUCAGAUACCUUCCCAACCUGGGACUCUUUAGAAUCCACCACUUCAGCUUCAACAUUCUUCUCCUGCUCUUCAGUAUCUUCUGCUUUGCAAUCUGUAGCUGGGGUCUCAUUCUUGUUUUCAUUCUCUCUCUCCUUUACAGCAUCUUUAUCAGUGGCCUGAGUUUCAAUUGUUUGGGUUUCACCCCCUUUCUCAUCUUGACCUUCCUUUGCAACAUCUUUCUCAGUCACUGUACCAGUAGUAUCCUUCACAGAUUUUUCUGCUUCUUCCAUGUGGACAUCCUGUGCUGCUUCACUUCCUUCAGGAGCUUCUUUCUCCUUAUCAUCCUUCUUUGAACCAGAAGAUUUUCUGCUUCUUUUCUUUGGAGUCUCUCUCUCUGGUGGUGGAGUUGCCUUUGCUUUCUCGCUGAUCCUUGCUGAUCUUCUUGGGGUUUCACCAGUUCCCCAGUCAAAUUCUGAUAUUGGAGGACCCCCAGGGUGGGUCUUGAGGUACUGGUCCAAUUGCUUCCUGCUGGUGAUCUCCUCUCCUGUUGGGGCUGUGAAUAUGAUUUCAUUUUUCUUUGGUGUACCUCCUUUUUUGAGCAUAAACUGCAUGAGAGGAAGAUACUUCAUUGGGAUUGUGUAAAAACAGAAAGACGACACCACGGGAACUCAACUUGAAGGCUUUUAACUACCAAAACAGAUGCAUUGGGAUUGUGUAAACUACAGAUGAAUGCCAAGUGAGCUAGUUCCUCAAGGACAAGAAUUCAGAACGUAAUGAAAUCCAGAACUAGGACCAUAAGUCUAGGAUCAGAAAUAGCCUAAGGAUCCUGCUUGAAUCAAGACUAGACAGGAUGAAUUAAGCUAACUAUUCCAUGAUAAGGAAAGACUAGAUCCACAACAAAAAGAUAAAACAGUAAGCCAAGACAAGCAAUCAGCCUGUUCCACAAUUUUCGGAACAUAAAUCCAGAUUUUUGGAGAAUUAUAGAGUUCACAUUGCACAAUAAAACAACACUUCAAAUUAAAAAAAAAUGUGGGAGUUUAUGUUUGAUGCUUAGUUAAGAACCCAGACAAUGAGAUAAGCAAUAUGUUUAGGAAAGAUGCAUUAAACCAAGGGAGUCCUACAAGUUGAUAUUGAAGCAUGUGCAACUUGACAAAGAUUGGCUCCAGCAAUCUUCCUUCCACUCAUGUUCAACCUAAAAAGCUUAGCCAAAGCUUCAUGUUUCAACUUAUUGUGCGAGAUAUGGUGAUGAUGAAAGACACAUUAAAGGUAUAGGCAUAGAAGAGUGUACUUCAAGCUAGUCCUUAAGGGCAUCCAGUGUUUCCUUCAAAAAUAAUAAAAACAAAUCAUAGUAUCCUUUAAGCGAAUAUUGGAUUCACAUCCACGGUCUCAUUUUUCCAUACAAAAUUUAUAAAGUUUAACCAUCCCAUGUUUUUUCAUUUACUAAUAAAGAUCUCUUCAUCUUAAAAAGUUUCAGCACAGUUGGUACAUCGUGAUAUGAAUGGCACAUGGGCAUGCAUAUAACACUGCCUCUUCAGCUGCCUUGUGUUUGCUCACAUUAAUGAAUGUGAACAUUGAAACUCUUUAAUGCAUUUAUAAAUUUUAAGUUCUUGAAUAUGCUGGGUUGUACAAAGUAGAAUUUGGAAUUCAUGCAUGGACACAAAGAACUGUAAAGACAACUUAAAAAGUUCUAUCAUCGCAGCCACAAGCACCGAUAUCAGACCAUGAAUGUCAGCAACAGUCGUGACCCAUCAGAUAAUGACCUCAAGCACCAGGUAUUAAAUUCCCGUAGCAGUCAAAACAAUAAUUGAAAUACUGGUCAUACCAGUCAUCAAGAUAAAAGACAUUACAUGCCCCAGCAGCAGUUAGGCAUACUAAACAUUUACACUAUCAGGUUUCCAGAAAAGUAGAAAAUUAGGUUGUGGGAAGCAAGUAAAUGAUAAAACUUGGCAAAUAAAUCAAACAACACGAAUUCAAUUCAGCAGAUAUACAGGAAAUUAAACCAUCAAAUCAGUGCUCUUUGAAGGAACAAAUUGGCAUGGCCUAUGCAAUAGUCUAAAUAUAGGUGUUCUAUAUAGACAAAAAUUGCACCAAAGGUGUAAGUAUCAAAUUAAGACAGGCCAUUACCUAAUGUGGUUUUGCUUCACUUGGGAAACAGGAAGACAACCAUCAAUUUUGGGAUUUUACCGAAGAGAAGGUCUUUUAUUUAAUUUAAUCUAGUAGUACAUCAUGAGAUGGAAGCAUACUUCAAGAUCUAGUCCUUUACAAAAGAAGAAAGUGACAACAAAAAACAGCAAAUCACCCCAAAAAAAAAAGCCAGUAACAGAAAAUUCCAUGAGAAAAAAGGAAAAUCAUAAAUAGAAUUCUAACCUCAAUCUCAUGUAAAUUAAAUCGUGAUGAUGAUAAGUUGACGACCCAAGCCCAGUCGACAUACAAAACCAACAACUUCUUGAGUUGCUUUACAGAACUGCUUUCCCAAGCAUAUAGCUUAUCAAAAAGCAAUAUACAAGCCGAAGGAAAAAAAAAGGCUCUCCAAAUCUUAAACGUUACAGCUAACUAUUUAGUGGAACGAAAUUAUGAUUUUACCAGACUUCAUAAUCAAAAUAUAUGGAAGAAAAGAGAAACCUACAGGUGCUCCAUAAAUUGAAGCAGCUGAUUUGGUAGCAAUUACAAUCUUAAAAGUACACAAUAGAAUACAACAUAGCAUUUCAAGAGCUGCAUUGCCUUAUUAGACGCUUUCCACUCUUAGAUAAACUUUCAAGACCAAAAAAAGUCAUUUCUAUGAAACUCAGGGUUUGCCAGCUUUGAAACCAGAAAUACACUGUGCCAAAAGUUUAGAAACAUUUAAACAGGGCAUGCUACCAAUCAAGUACAAACAAGCAAACAACCUUCAACCAGUAACUGCAUAAAUGAAAAAUGUUCCUAAAAUUCUGAGCUUAGAAAUUGCUAGUGUGUAACCUAAUUCUUGACCAAAGCCCAAAUCAUUAAACCAUUUCGAGAAUUUAGAACUCAAUCCCAGUUGCUGAAAAUGCAGAAACCAAAAAGGUAAUUCGGACAAAACCAACCCUAGUAAUUACGGCAACAAGCUAUAGGUCAAACUACAGACUCAAUUCAACUUGCACUUUCUUCUCCACAGUCUUGUUAGGAAAUCCUAGAUGGUAUCUUAAAAUACACAUGAAAGUAAAUAACAAUAAAACCUAACUCCGACUGAUAAAAUUGAAUGCACGACUAAUGCAAACAGAAGGUACAAUUAACUAUGGCAACGUCGUUAUGUAAUGCCCCAGCUUACUUAUCAUCACCAUGGAAAUUAAGUUCAUUUCCUUUUCAUCACCAGCAGAAUCCAUAUCCCAGUCCAAAAAACACAGAGUAGAACUCAUGCUGAAUAACAACAAUUAAAGAACCAAAAACAACAAAAUGACGCGGACCGAUUAAACAAGUUACCAUGGCCUUCUCAACCCUAGCUUCAAAAUUUACAAAUGAACACCCAUAGUUGGUCGAAUUCCACUUCAGAAACCACAUAACCACACCAAAUGGAAAUAUGCCCCUAACCCAGUUCACCCCAAACAAGCCAAAAAUAAUCCCAAAAAACCUCAAUAAACCCGUAAAAAACAAAACUUCAGAUAACCCCGGGUGACACACCGCAAGUCUUGUAAAUCCCACCUCAAACCAGCAUAAUUACACAGAAUUAAACGAAGUCCAAUUGAAUUCAAGGACGCAAAACUCAAAUAAACAAAACCACAAGAACGCAAACUUUAGAAAACCCAAUCAAAAAGCACACAAAUACAUGAAAAUAGAGAAAAAGGAGGACUUUUCUGAAAAGGGGUAACCUUUUUCUUCCAGCCAGAAGGAGCAGGGAGCUCCAAGCACACGAAUUCGUUGGCUUCCUCAACCGAGCUCGCCAUUUCUCUUCUUUACCUACUCAAUUUCCAGAGUUCAAGUUACUUGAAUAUUUUAAUAGCAUAAAAAGGGAAUAUAUAAUGAGCAGCGAGUCAUAGAGUGAGAGAGUCACCAGACUCAGACCCGCACACAAACAAAACGGGACCAACUAACUUUUAACUAUAUAUUAACUGCACCCACACAUGUAUGUAUGUGUAUUUACCUAAUAAUAACGAUAAAAAAAAAGUCCCAGUAAAUAUUUAGCACUGCCAGUAAUCUCAGCCACCUUUAUUAGUUUCUCUGCCUACUUAAUCUUGGGAUUUUUCGGUAAAUCCUGAAAUUUAACCACCUAAUCUGACGGUGUUUUACACUGGGAUUCAUUUUAGUGCCAAGCAUUGGAAAUGGUUGUACACUUUGCAAAAUUGGAGGGAGAGCAAUAGCCUGCAGAUGUGACACGUUGUUGAGGCAAUUUAAUGAGAUCAGAUUUGUGGUAUUUUGGCCACAUUCACUUCACUUCAUUUCAUUUAGCCUUUUUUAGCGUCUUUGGCUUAUCUUCAUUGUUUUAUCCUUUCGUGCGGUGGAUCAUUAUUAUUAAUUUUUCUCUUUUUCUACUUUUACACUUGUAAUUAACAGAUUAAAGACCUCAUCCUUAUCCUCUUCUUUGACUUGGACCUGCUUAGUAGUAGUAAUAAAUUGCAACUUGUCGUGCUUAAUUGAUAUAUCAGGCACUCAGCCAGAAAUUGGCAAGGUUUAUUUAUUUAUGUAAAAAAAAAUAUAAAUACUAUUAGAAAUGGAAAUGCAAUGGUAGCUCAUGUUAUGGAUAAGGUUGAGGUAACAAAAACCAUUACCUAAGGGCUCUUUGAUAUUCCCGCAGUCCUACAUCGAUCCUAAAGGGUUUGGGAGUUGGGUAGUUAAGCCUCCAAGUUUGUCUCAAGAGUUGCCGGCUUUUGAAAUUAAAUUUGAGAUUAGAUUUAAUUAGCUAACUUUAAAAAUCUGAUAAAAAAAAAAUAAUGGACUCUUUGAUAUGUCCAUGUUGCAGAGCCCACUAAAUGGUAAUCUAAGAGCCCAUGUUGAUAUGUCCAUGUUGAUAUUUCGGGCUCACAGUUCUGUGUGCCCCAAUCCGGUAACUGCUAGCCCAACAUUGAAAGGGCUUGGUCUCUGUCCCCAGAUAUUGCGUGUUCGUUGUGUAUCUGUAUAUAUCAUGUACUUUUUUCUUGACCUUUGAUUUAAUUGAACAUAUCAAUGAAGUACUCCAUUACUCAUAGUUAAUAUAUAAUCUGUUCUAAAACUCGAAGAUUUAGAAUCUUGGUUAGCGCUUUUGUUUGCACUGAAAUGCUACCAACAAUAUACUUUCCUUUUUCUUCUCGGUUAAAUGUGCUACUCACCCAGCUUCCAAAUUAGCUUUCAGUUAUUCACUUCCUUUUUUUUUUUUUUUUUUUUCCGGAAACGAUAGAAAUUCCAGGGCUCUUUCUUGACGUACGUACUUGCAAUUUUACACAGCUUCCCACGUUUGUGGUAUGACAUGCAACCAAACACUACUGGCAGUGCUCCAAAUGUUACAACAUAUUCUCCAUGGGUUUUUUUUUUUUUUUUGGUUGGGGUGGAACUUAUUCCCAUAGCUGGCCUGCUACCUUAUUACUCACCCUUCACCCUAGGCUAAAAAGGGUUCAAACUGGGGUAAGUUGAUGAUAAUAUGGCCCUACUGAUAUAGGAGUAGGGAUGCUCUCUGACCCAAGAAUAUGUGGCAUCAGAAACUUUAGUGAUUUUCACUUAGUAUUAUGUAUUUACCGGAAUUUUUAUUUUUAAUGCAUCUUUAUUUACCAAAAAAAAAAAAGUAUUUACCGGGAUAAUAUCAGAAACCGCUCCUGAGGUUUUUUGUAAUAUCACUUAGCACCCCUAAAAUUUUAAAAGUAUCGCUUACCUCAUUCUCAAAACUGCAAAAUAACUGUAUUAUCCCUUACUGGAUGUAUAAUUCACAUGUCAAAUAAAUGGAGCUUAAAAAAUUAAAGGAAAGAGAAACAAGAAUACACUUUCUUUUCUUUCACCUUUUUCCAACAUUUUCUCUUAGUCAUUUUUUUGGAUGACUAUGUAAUUUUUUAUUUGUAAAUAUAGUAAUUAAAUUUUGUUUAUCUUUUUUCUUUUUAUGAUCAUGAUAGAGUGGGAUAUGAUUUCUUUGUUUAUUUUGAAUAAAUUUUUAUAAUGAUUUAGUGCAACUUAAAGGUUUAUAUCAUGCGUUGAGAAGAGGUUGGGAAAAAAAGAUAAGAUUCAUGAGAAAUUGAGCUAGCAUAUAGAGUUGAAUUGGUGCUAGUGUAUUUCUUUACAAAUAUCUAUUUUUACUUUUUAAAUUUACACUUUUAUGAACUAUAGUUUUGUGAUGUUGUGGUACUGUUAAAAAUAAUUUUUAAUGUUGUGAUUUUUCUUGGAAUAAAUAAAGCGAUUUAAAAGCAUUUUUAUUUAGUAAUAUGAGCAAAAGGAUAGUUCGGAGUUUUUAAAAAUCUUGUUACACAAAAAUAACAAAAUAAAGAGAACCAAGCGACUAUUUUUAAGAUUUUAGAGGCGCUAAGUAAGUAAUAUUAAGAGAAACCUUUGGAAGAGCUUUCUGACAUUAUCCCUUAUAUAUUUUGUGCUUUUAAGGGCUGAUGAGCUGAGUAGGUGCCGCCGGCCGGGCGAUAGUCAGAGAGAUGAAGUGACAAGAAAUGCAAUGAAUGCAUGACAGUCAUGGAUUUGACGUUUCAGAUUCUGUCCCAGCCGUUUUCGUUCACACAGACACAGCUCUUUUAAAUUUAAUAAGAAAGAAAGGAAAAGAAAAAAAAAAAGAAAGAAAAAGAAGCAGCCCCAGCAUCCUACUGGCGUCGCUUCCCCAAGUUUCCCAGUGUACAGUUAUUUUCUAGGAGAAAACAUUGCCAGCUUGUAAUGUACAUUGUAGUAGGACAACCCUCUUUUCAGAUCCCAAGGACCAACAUUGAUUUGAUUCAUUCCUUGUUUUUUUUAACAGUUUUCCUAGAUUUCAGCUUCCGCUCUAAUUUUCUUUUUAUACACCUUUUUAUUUUUGUUACAACAAAUAAAAGAAGCAUUCACUAUUAAUAUCUCGUACAUCAAAACUGUUUUAAACGCCUGCAUGAAUCCGUUGUUGGACAACAGACGAAUGUAAGUGUGAAACCCGCUGAUUCUUUUUUCUAAUUGCGAAAUUGCUCUCUCAAUAUCAUCAAGUAAGACUGAAAAACAAAGAAAUGGGCGAUAUUGUUUGAAACAAUGCAGCCAAAUUGGCUUGACAAAGUAGUAUUUGGUUUUUAGUGGUCUGCUGCGUUGGCCGUAGAGGAGUGUGACAUGAUGGAUGGAUGGCAGAUGACUAAAAUGGUGGUCCAUCGAUCACUCUUUUUUAUCACCAGGAUUACAUGUGUUGUGGGAAUGCGUUUGUACGUACCUAUGCUUUGACACAAAAGGUCUUUUCCUGGUUUAUAUAUAUAUAUUUUCAGCUAUAGCGAAAUGAAAAGCAAAAAGCUUUUGCCACCAAUGGCAUUUUGCUCAUUACAGAUGCUAGAUUGGCAUAGCAUGGUACCAAGUAUAAGCUGGUAAAAGGCUACCAGGGGACCAGAAUUUGGGUUUUAACUUUCAAGCACCCUCACCGCCAUCUCUCCCCCCUCCCCCACAAAAAUUCAAUACCCUGGGAUCAUGCUAGCUGUUCAAUCAAAAUCCCUCUUCCCUCCCUCUCCUUGACCACCAGAAAAUGAUAGGGGGGGGGGGUUACAAAGAGAUAUAGGGAGAUAGAGUUAAAAAGCCUACAGCAUUCUACCAAAUGCAGAACUUUGUAACUUUUCAAUCUAGUAUUGUUUUCUUUCUUUUCACCCACCCGAAAAGGGAAUUUUACGUUCCUGAUUCCCUUCUGGUUCAAUGUCUCAAAAGAUAGUGGCUUGCCUUGCUAAAUUUGGUUAAAGUUGUCCACUGAAAGUACCAUCGACAAGACAUUUGAUAAGGUUAGUAAAAAUUAUCAGAGGAGUAGAAUCUCAAUUUUGUUGAUGUUGAACCUUCACUUCCCGCACUUGUCCAUCCAUUCUAAAGACGAUCUUUGAAAGUUAGGUACGCGUAAUGCACGUAUCAAGCUGGUAAAGUAGAAGUUUGCCAUGAAUUCAUUCUUAAUUCGUUUUCUACUUCAAGCAAAAGAUGCCAAUUACUUGGUCAUAACAAGAAACUUGGCGAAACUAGAACAAUUGAAAGCUAUCAUACAACACUAACUAAUUUUUUUUCUUGGAAGAUCGAGACAUUGUUACAUGUUUUCUCUUAUAUAUAUGAUUAGUAAAGGGCUGGAAGUCACGCAAAAGGAAAUGAAAACUUUUGAGAAUUUACAAAUUCACUAUUUUCAAUGGUAUUUUACAAAAUUUAGAUAGAGGUCGAUCGAAUAAACUUCAUGUCCCUAUUUCAGAUGAAAACUCGAAAAUUUUACCAAUUAGUCUUACAUGUAUAUAACACCUAAACGAUGCCCUAUAUUAAUAUCCAUUAGGUAACCUUAGAGCAAGAUUUUAGCACCCCAAAAGGUAAAAUUAUUAGUGUCUAGACGACGACCAAUGUUAGCAUUCAAGACCUAAAAGAUGGCAUGAGGCAAGCUGUUGGCCGAUUGAAAGGAUGGUUUCUGAGCAUGUCAUGGAUUUGUAUGCCUCAUUAGCUGUUCGCAAGAAACAAGGCUCAGGAAGAAUUGUAUGAUACUUGAAAGCAAAAUCAAGGAUGAUCGCCCAAAUUUUAUAAAAUUACCAUGCCAAUUUUUUCAGUGCCCCGCGUAAUAUCCAAAUUGCCAGUGCAGUCAAGUUAAACUAUCAUUCUCGUUUAGAUAUUAUAAAUGCACAUCGAAUAAACUGCCUAUAUCUCGAUAAUAAUGUAGGAUAUGUCCAACAAACACUACUAGAGUUGUAACCGAAAGGACUUUACUAUUAACAUUUUCUUGUGCUAAUCGCAAAGAGGAGCAAUCAAAUUUUGCAUAUAUCAUCAAAUAAGAUGAUUAGUCGGAAUAUACUUUCUGUAAAAUGUUUUCCUAAAGACAUAAACCUCCCACAAAUUUGUAAAACAAGGGACAAACAAAGAAAAGGGAUCAUGUAUCCAUAGAGGCCAGAUUGAAGAGUUCCAUAAAUACAUAAGCAAAAGAAAGUAGCUUACUGCAACAGCACACUGGUAGUAUCUUCCAUACAGCAUUUUGUAACAAGUACAACGCAGGACUGGGAUAUUGUGAUAGUAAUACAAGCUUAAUAGUAAUACAAGCUUAAUAGUGUCACAAGUCUUGUUCAAUUCAUUUGAAGAGCUCGGAAAUCACUGACAAGCUUUGUGGGGGGGGGGGGGAUUAUGGCGCUCUCAUUUGUUCAAUAGUGCAGUCCUUGGCGUUAGGCGCUUCUCAGAAUCCUGCCAAAGACGGAAAACCUAAAAGUCAUCAACCUUGAAUAUAAAGACCAAAAAAAAAAAAAAGAGUUAAUCAGUUUGUUUCGCAAUGAUUGUGCAACUAGAAUUGAGAUUAGAAUCUUCUCAAUUUUAUAUUUUGAAGCAGAAUGCGCAUCUAGCUAGUUAAUCACAUGCAUUUGAAGAGAUUGAGAACCAGAUGCAUAAAACCAUAAGAACCCUGUGUCUCCCGAACCGUGGAUGCUGUGAUUAUAGCCCUUGCUAGCUCCUAAAUUUGACCCUGGGAAGUAAUAAUACAGAAUCGUGGUACUUUUUCCGUUUCUUUCCUUCUUGCUCUUUUUUUCUCUUUUUUGAUCAAGUUAUCCUCAGACUAAAAUAUCAAAUGGCUACUCAUGAUUUGCAUACUUAUGGUGACAAGUGACAAGAGGCAUUUCGCCAGAACGAUGGACAGUACAUAAGUCAGAAAACUUAAACCUACACAACUAAAGUACGUAUCAUGCAUCUCUAAGAAGAAAAAUAAACUUCCGACUCUUUUCUUCUUUGUUAAUUUUCUUGUUUUUUUUUUUUUUUUUGGAUGGGAAAAGCUUGGGAUAUUAUGCAUGCAUGCAACCACAUCCACAGUUCUUCGCAUGCCGACUCAGUAAAUCAGCAACCCCUAUUUGCUUCAGUCAAAAAAGAAAAAUUUUUAGUCAAAUUCCUCAAUUCACGGGCAUUAACUCAAUAAUUUUACUUACCAAAAAAAAAAAAAAAAAAAUCGAUGUAUCUCUUGGUAUCUACUUCAUACACACAACCUUGUUGAUUAAUUAUAAAUAUACCAUGAUCUCUCAAUUACUCAAAUGUGUUAAGGGGGCCAAGAUGGCUAUGAUUCUUUAGAGGCUCCAAAUGACGAUCUUUUAUGAAUUUUAAUUGCAGCAUAAACCCAAAACUCGGAGAGAGCAAAACAAAUAAUGAUUAGAAACUGAAAAAUAGUCUUUUUAUUUAUUUAUUUUUUGGAGUUACGUACCUCGCCUAGUUUGGGUUUGUUAUUGGUCUCCAACAUGAGCCCAAAGUGAAUGUGAGGGAAGUGCGCCCACUUUUACAGCCAAGAAUUCAAAGUUCACAAGUCAUCAUCAGCCAAAUUCAACAAAAGUGGUAUUACUGCUCUGAUAUCUGCUGUUGUGCAAUCCAAGAAAAGGCGAGACAAUUAAAGUUUGCAAAGAUUAACGUGCACACUUACAUUCUUGGCAGCUGUACUAAAAGCCUCCCUGUGGUUAAUAUCCGGGUUAUUGGCUUUGAUCCUCUGAAUCUCUUCUCUGCACGUAUUUUUGUUUCUCCCAUCAAUAAGGUGGUGUAACGAAAGUGAUAGAUCACUUAUUGCUACUAAUAAGUUCAAUGUGGCAAUGCCCAAGAAAAACAGAUGAUUAAAGAGUGGCUAGUAUUAAUUCAGGUGAUGAGUACUGAGGCAGGCGCAGGUGCAAUUACUUUAUGAACUGGUUGUAUGCAGAUGGUACUCGCUGUCUCUUCUCAGGAGCUGAAAAAAGGAACUCGUGCGUAUGAUAUGAUGAACAAAAUGGGAGAAACAAUAAUUUUAAAAAAAAAAGAAAGAAAUUAAAAACAUGCAUAAGUAGGGAAAACUGGGGAAAUUAAAUCAUUCAAGUUACUAACGCACGCACGUCGAUUCACAAUCCUUUCCUCAGCGCGGUUUGGUAUGGAUGGUCGCGUUGCUGGCUUGAUGUUGUAACCUUUGGCGGAGGAACCAAAGUCGAUCCUGUAUUGAUCAGGCGGAGUGGAGUUCUGAGCCUGAAAUUAACCCCGUGUUACCAAGUUAAUGAAGAAACACUCGGCCGGGAUUGAUUUGUUCAAAAGCAUCAUUAAUUAAAUACUAUCAGCAAAUGUGAAAGACAGGAGUUCUGCAUCUGUUGCUCGCUGGCCCCAUCACUUCUUCACUCAUUUACUACGUCUGCACUCUGCUGAGUUGAGAAGGCUGGAUGGGGCGGGGGUCAAUCUUCUUGGCGUUGGGUGCUUUGAGUGUGAGAAAGAGAGAGGAAGGGAGAGUUGACUGAGACAUUCAAAAGAGUGAGAGAGAGAGAGAGAGAGAGAGAGAGAGAGAGGAGAGGAUCACAACAUAGUUAGGAAUAUGACGAUGACGAUGAGAAUGGAACCCAGAGAAGUGAAAGCCCCCCCACUAAAGGAAAUGCGGGAUUAGAUGGGGCUGUGUUUCCGCAGUAGAGGACAAGCCCCUGAUGGAAAAGAGAUCAUGGGGUGGCAAAAAUAAAAAUAAAAAUAAAAAACGAACGAAAGAAAGAAGUUAGCAACCUUCAACCAACAAAACCAUACAUGUCAAUCAAAACAUCAAAUCAGCAGAUCCAAAAGCAAAAUAAAAUAUCCCCUGAUAUAUAAUCCUAGUUUACUUUAACGGGGCAGGAGUUUGACACUGCCUGACUAAUUACACUGUCUAGCCGCAAAAAUACGGCCUACAAAGACUAGAAAUAAUUAUUCUGGCGGCUGUUAGGGUUCUGUCUCAGGUCUCAGAGGGAGGGAAGAAAAAAAGAAAAGACUCGAUCUACGAAGAUUGCAUCUCAAGUUUGUUAAUGGAGAGGGCUUGGGAAGAAGAGAUUUGAGAUUGAUUCCCUCAAAAGAAGGAAAAAUCACCCCUCCCACCCUAGAUUUCAGAAGCCUAAGUAGAUGGAUCGCCCACAAAUUGAGCUGAUCAAUGUUGUUACUGCCGGCCUGCCAUACUGAAGAUAUUAUGGGGUGCUGACCUGAACAUCUUGCCAGCAGGAGGAGGAGGACAGCGACUGGAAUGCAGCUGCCAUGUUCACGGACCAUAGAUUGGUGCAGUGUCCACAUCGGACGGUCACGACAUCAAAUAAGCUGCUGCAUGGAACACUCACCUGAAAAAUUCAACAAAAACCACCAAAAUAGACUUCUCAGAAGCCGCUGUUAUAAAGUUACCAGUCCCGAAAGUCAAGAAACAUACGAUUUUCUACCUCGAGAUCCCUCUUACUCAAUAUAAAUCCAUAUACCGAAAAAAAGGAAAAAAGAAAGCAGCGAUUUUUUUCCCAAUGAACUGAGGGCUAACUAUUGAAUAGCUAAAGGGUUCAAGGGGGCUAAUAAAAAAAUAUAGCUACCUCUUUGAUUCAAAAAUAAUAAUAAAAGAAACCCUAAAAUGGAGAGAGGGGAAGUAAUUGUUCUUUAUUUUGCUAUUCGCUGGAGUUUUCCAUAGAAAACCAGCGGCAGGUGAGUAAAUUCACCUCUCCACCAGCCACAGAAACAAUAAUAUGUUUUCUGGAUGCUUCCCUUGCUCUUGGGCUGAUGGUAGAGAUUGAAGUAAAGGUAUGGCACAGUGGGAGGAAAUCCAAGGCUCAAAGACUUGUCUUCAUCAGAGUUUUAUCGUCAAAAUUUCCUUACUUUGACGACAAAUUAAACAUUUAAAGGAAAUCAAUACAGUAAAACCUCUCACUACUCGCGCGCUCUCUCUCUGACUCACACCCUCUCACAUACUCUCUCUGGUCAUUUUGAAACUUUAAGACCUCAGAGUAAGACUUUUCUUUGACUGCAAAAGAAAGAAGGGAAAAGGAAAGUCCGAACGAUGGAGACUUGUCCGCAAGAAAAACCAAGCAAAAUUUUGUACAAAAGAAGAUUAAUGGAAUUCGGUAUAAUAACGCCAAAUAGUCUGAUCUCUCUGCAUCAAAAGCUAGCCUUUUCCAGCAACCAUGAUGUUCUCUCUUGUUCACCCACCCCUCCGGCGGGAAUAACAAGAAGCACUCAUCGUGCAAGAAAUGACACAAAAUAUGGAUAUAUAGUUUGAGGAUGUAUAUUAGAAGUAGAUCCCACUAGCCAAAAGAGCUUCAGAGAUUAAUUGAUGGAUACCGCAAGAACUAUAUUGCAAAAGUUGCAAGGGAUGUAGCAGAGUUGCUCAGGUGGUGGCGGCGAAACAUCGCUGCAGCUCGACAUGACUGUCUAGUCCUUCACCAAAAAAUGGAGCUAGAAAAAACAAACAACGAAGAGGAAGAAGAAGAAAGAAGAUAAAUAUAAAACCAACUCUCCAGACCCUCUCCUGCAAGCACACAAAAGAGAAAAGCAAGCAAUAUAUACGAGGGAAAAAGGCUACGAUAUAUUCUUUAUCUAUCUUUCUCUUCCUCUCUCUCUCUUGCUCUCUUUCCAGAAGUUCUAUGUAAAUGUGUAUCACAACAGUAGAGCCAGACUUUUGCGUGUAUAUGAAAAGAAGAUUAUACUAGUACUAGUAUACCAGUAAAGGGAUCUUUAUUUUCCCUUAGAAAUUGGAAAAAAAGAAUACAGGAAUUGGAGGGAGGGAUAAAAAGAGAGAGGGAAGAAAAAAGAAAAGUAGGGUUUGGAUCCAAAGUGGCUUCACAGAGAGAAGGGUAGUGAUCAAUAGGGAAUGUGCAAUAAAAAAAUACUGGGUUCAGCUGUGGCCACGGCUACCAGGUGGUGCCGGACCGGAAAGGGAAAGGUAUUGCAGGAAAUUAAGGUGAGGGGUGACCGGUACAAGGGGUUGAGAAAAAUUCCUUUUUAAAAAAAGAAAUAAUAAUAACAAAAUGGGUUUUAGAUAGCUGAAAAAGUUGUUCUUAAACGUCUGAUAUUUGCCAGCCAAAAGGGGCCUAGGGUUUUCAUGAUAAAAGAAGGAGAGGGCAUUUUGGCAGCAUUAGCCAAUGAGUCCAUAAAUAGGUGGAUUUUAGCCGCUGUGGGCAAAGCGUAAAAGUGUGGCCACUCCCUUUCCCCAUCCCCUGCUGGCGGCUUUCAGAACCGCAGCGGACGAGGGGGGCGAAAUUUCCCCAUCAUUCAAUACUCUAUUUAUGCGUAUCUCUUUGUUUGUUUCAUGUUCAUACACUUGAAUCAUGCAUCCCUUGUAAUUUAACACAAUCUACACUUUAGAAAUACCAAUUAAAACCUAUAUAUCUUCUAAUUCUAUAAAAAUAUUUUCUUAAUCUUCGUAAGACUAGAGCGCGAAUAAAUUGAUUCAAAGAGAUCUGUGUCACAUAUAUUUUUGAGUCUAAUGAUAAAACUUCAGAAAGAAGAUCGUUCUAUAUAUUUGAAUUGUUUUAAGAACAAAAAAAAUUUUUUUCUUCUUAGCUAAAAUGGUAUUCUGUCUUAUUUGAAGUGCGUCCAAUACUAUAUUGAAUUAUUUAGGGAGGUAACAUAGAUAAAAGAGGGAAUUUUACAAACUUUAAUAUAUAUGAUGGGACCGAAAAUUUUGUAAGCCAAUUCUAUGAUUUAAUCAAAGUUGUGAAGUGGAAGGGCAAUUUUCAACCUCAAUUCCUUGCAGCUUUACACUCAAAUUGCUUUAUUGGGCAAUGUUUUGCACAAAGGAUCUAGAAUUUCAAUGAUUGUAAAAUAGAAUUAGAAAGGUCCUGUUUGAUAAUUUAAUUCAGUAGUUAAAUUUAAUAGAUUUAGACCUUAACAUAUUCAGACUUGUUUAAUAACUAAAAAUAGGGCAUCUUCAUAAUUAAGUGACUUUGAAUUGUCUAGACAAACUGUUCACUUAUCACUUAAUAUAAAAUAGGAUCAAAUAUUAAGGUUUAAGUAUUUUUUAUAUGACAAAAAUAACCCACAAAAUAACAUGUUAUUUUCUUUUCUUGUUGUUCAUCUUCUAGAUUACACAUACAUCGACUAGCUUUUUUAUUUUUCCUCAAAUAGUUUUGUUAUGAAUAUUUUUUUUCAUUUUAUGGUUCAUUAUUUUUUAUUUUAAUAAUUAAUUCUUAUUUAAAAUAAAAUAAAAUAUAUAAUAGAUAAUAGCAUCAUUAAUGAAUAAAUUAGAAUAAGGACAAAAUUGUAGAAUAUAUAAAAUUUAGUAUACAAUUGUCUACAAUUAUCAAAGAAGCAUAUUGUAUUCAAUAUUUGGAUUCAGAUAACGAGUUUUAUCAGAUAAUGAGUUUUAUCAGAUUUCUUACUCAAUAAUUCAAUAAAUUAGUAGAUUAAUAUUUCAGAUUUCAAAAUUUAGGUUUAUCAAAUUUCUAAGACAAGUAAUAUCCAAAAAUACAAUAAACUUUCUCUCUUGUUGUAAGUUAUAUUGCACAAUCAGUGUCAUGUAUUUCCUUUAAAAUCAACCCGUCACUAUCUUUUAACUGUCUUGUGCAAUUAACGUACACUGCUAUGACUGCCAAUAAUCCACUCCUAAGCACAAAUGUUAUAUUUUGCAUUUUGACCAUUGCCUAAUAAUAAAUCUAGGAUGCAACAACAAAAUUCUGGUUUCAUAAAAAAUAAUUAUUCUUCUAUUUUUGUUCUAUCAAGUAAAUUUAAAAAUUUUGUUUAACAGACGCUUAGUUGAAGUUGAAUUAUAGGUUGAUUCAACCAUUUUCGAAAUCUUACUUUUAUGGAUUAAUUCCUGUUCCAUGAUAAUAAAUAGUUUAUCUUAUGUGUAACAAAUAAGUAAUUGUGUAAAUUGGUAAAGCUGGUAUCAACAUUCUCAAUUUGUCAAAGAAUAAAUAUCACCUUAAGACUAAAAAAUAAUCGACAUAUGAUAAUUAUUUUGAUAAGAGUUCGUUCAUUUUUUGUUAAUUGAUCAAGCUAAAUGUGAACAAAGUUUAGUUUGUUUUUAGAGAGAAAUGCAGUUUUGAUUCUCAAUGCUUGGUAUUUGUGUAAUUUUGGUCAAUAAAGUUCGAGUAGAAACAAAUCUAGUGCCAAAUAUUUGAUACUUGGUGCAAUUUUAGUUCUUAAGCUUUGGGCAAAAAUGUUCUGGCCUUUAAUAUUAUCAAUUUAAAGUAGAUUUAGGACAACUGAUUGAUUCUCUCAAAUAUUGGUGGAAUCAUUCAUGUACAGCCACAUGUUUGUUGAAUUAAACUUCUUAGAGAAGAAGUAACAUAGCAAGUAAUUUUGAACAAUAAAAAUAACUCAUGUCAUGGCACUUUAGCAACUAAUUAACCAAGAAAUAAAAAAAAGAAAGGAAAUUUGUUAAUCUAUAUGAAAAAAAAUUAAGUUAUCAGUUCUUAAUUUUAUUGCUUAAAGUUAGCUAUUAGUUUGUUUCUUUAUUUUGAAAUUUAAUUAUAACAGACAUAUGACUAGACAUGAAUAAAUUCUAUUAUUAAUUGGGAAAAAUUCUUUAAAUGUCCUAAAUCUAUUUUAAAUUGGAUACACUGAGGACUAAAUUUGUUGUUGCCAAAAUUUUAGGGGUUCAAAUUGUACAUGUACUAAAUGUUGAGAAUUAGAUUUGCUUUUUAUCAAAAUUUUAAUGACUAAAACUGCAUAAGGGAUAAUUAUUGGGGACUAAAAUUGCAUUUCUCCAUUCCCCCUUCUCCCUCUCUCUCUCUCUCUCUGAUUGAGAGACUUAACUGAUUGAAAAAAAAAAAAGAGAAGAAAAACUUUAGUUGAAGAAACUAAUUAAGUGCCUAUUUGAUAACAUAAAAAAGUGCUGAAACUGAAUUCAUUCAGACAUUCAAAUGUUGUGGGUGUUUGAUAAAUAAAAAUUCACCUGCUGAACUUAUUAAGUGGUGUUGAAUUUGUAUGCAUUUCUUUCAGCACAAGAAUCGUAGCUGAAUGCUUAAUUUGAUAAGAGUCAAGAGAUUUAUUUCAACUACUUUAUUUUAUCUACCAAAUAUAUCCCUGUUUGUUAAUUACAUUCAAAAUCCUUAUUUAAUUAAACAACCUAAUAUUCCCUAUUUAAAAUCCUUAUCUAAUUAAAAAAAAACAACCUGAUAUUUUCUAUUCAAAUUUUUUUUUUAACAAUAGUAUUUUUUUGCAGUAAUUUUCAUCCACAAACAUUUAUACUUUGAUAUUUUUUUUGUGCAAAUAAAUAUUAUUUAUGUGAUGCAGCUUAUCCACACACACGUGGCUUUAUGACACCAUAUCGAAAUAUUAGAUAUUAGUUGUCUGAUUUUCGAAAUGCUUUUCGUCCAAGAUCAAAAGAAGAACGCUUUAACCAAGUACAUGCAAGAUUGAGAAAUGUAAUUGAACGUGCUUUUGGAGUAUUAAAAGCUCGUUUUCCCAUUCUCAAAACGAUGAAACCAUACCCUUUUCUCACACAAAGAAACAUUGUCAUUGUAUGCAUUGCUCUUCACAAUCAUUGUCAUUUUCAUACAUAACAAUUUUAAAUUAAUUAAAUCAUUGGUUCUAUUUCCUUUUUGGAUUAAAAGAUAGAAGGACAAAAUUGUACAAUUUAGCUCAUUAAGCAUUAAGUUAUGAAUAUUUAUCAAACAGUAUAAAUAGAUUCAGCAUUAAAAUUCAGACAUUCAUAUAUCUCUUUUCAGUGCUUAAAAUUCAGCAAAUUAAUUAUUUCAGUAUUCAGAAUUCAAAAUUCAGAAUUCAGAAUUCAGAUUUAGUGUUAUCAAACGGAGCCUAAAUAGGAUUCAGACCAAAUACUAGAGAGUCGCUACUGGAUCUUUAGCGUUUGGUUCAGUUACACGGCCUCCACAUGUUCGCAGAAAAUAAAUCCAUAUAGAUAGGAUUCCCGGCAUAGACCAAUUAAAACCGAACUUAAAAAAUUUAGGGCCCGAAUCUGGUUGGAUUAACGUAGAUAUACUUCGUAGUCUCAAAAAAAAAAAAAAAAGAGUAGAUAUUUUUCAUAUAGUAUGCUGUAACUCACUUAACCAGGAAUUGAAUCUUAGACUUGGUCCAUUUCUGCUAAUGUAAUAAAUACCGUAAUGUUAUUUCCUAAAAAACAGAAGGCAACAAGACUAACGAGGUGUUUGAUUAAGGACGCUCAUCCGCCGUUUGAGUUGAUGUGGAAUUGUAGCGAUAAAAACCCUUUUUGUUCGAAAGAAUACAAAUUUCAUUAGCCGGUAACCAGUGAACUAGCUAGCUAGAGCAAUGUUUCACGGAACAAGUUAUACCUGGGCUUUCGCUAAACCUGAUAUAAAUGUCUUAACUAUAAGAUGACUACUAGACGUCCUCGACCAAAAUAUGUGAACCAACUUGGUGGUUUUGUCGAUUUCAUUCUGUACUUAUUGUUGAAGGAAUUAGUGAUCCACAAUGUUGGAGCCUUUAUUGACAAUCCACUGUGAACACGAUGAUGAUGAUGACUGCCGACGAAUGAGAAUCGAUAUACGAAGACCCUAUAGUUAAUGAUUUUUGACCAUGUAAUUGUGGAUUUUCAAUUUGGUGAACAUGACACCAUAUCAACAAACACCUGUUGAGUUGAGUAGGGGGUUUUAAAGGAGAGUUACAUCUUUAUUACUUAAAGUUUUAAACAUGCCAUGAUCAUUACCUAUUCAGGCCAUGCACUGUGUUUCUGCAAAGCUUUACCAGUAAAUUAGUACGUACACUGAUCAAAGGCUUUUUUGGGUGUCAAGCAUAGUUAAUAAAAUAUAUACUUUACUGGUUGAUGCGUUAUAUAUAACUUUUCUUUUUCAAGAUCUGCAAAUUCGUCGAAAGAAUUCAUAUAAAAUUGUUCUCGAGUUAUACAAAAAUCACUUAAUUUUCAACAUUCAUUCAUGUAGAGGACAAAUUAGAGCUAUUAAAAUUUUAACUUCUAUAUAAGUCAGAAUCCGUCUCCAUUAAUUGCUUAGGAAUACAUAGGGGAGCCAACAAAAGCGCGCAGUUGUGAUCUCCUGUUAUUUGAUUUCUUGAGGAGGUUUUCUCUAAUAAACACCACCUACAUACAUUAUUGAUAUCUAGGCCUACAAGCCUGUGAUUUUGAAAUUUACAGUAGCUGCGGUCAAAUUACUGCUUAACCAAGUGAAAUUUAUCCAUUCUUUCGUUACUUAUUCCUACAAUUAAGGAAAUAUGCAUCCCCUCAAAUAUCCAUCUGGUCAUCUGAAAUCUCAGCAGUUGAAAAGUAAACUUUAAUGUCUAUUACCUAGGAAAGUACAACUUAAAUGUCAAAUACUUAGGCAAGUUUUCUCUGCGACCUAAAACUUUAACAGCAAUAUACAAUAGUCACAUGCAUGGACUUUUUUUAUAUCAUCAUCACACAUUAUUCACCAGCAUUUCUCUUACAUCAUCAUAAGCCAUAUAUUAUUGUAUGUCGGAAUUGGUCUCUCAUCUAUUGAUCCAUAGACCAGAUAACCUAAGUACUUUGAGACGCAUAAUAUUGGCACACCUAAAAAAGUUUCUAGUACUCCUACGAUGCCAAAUUACGAUUUAAUGCACGAAAUUAUCCUCCAAUUUUUUUUUUUUUGGCACAAGUAUUUGCUGUGUUUCUUUUUCUUUUCAAAUUUAUGGUCAAGUAAAGAUUUUGAGAAUAAUCUAUGUAUUGCAAAAUGGAUUUUUGUUAAGUUUCGCAAUAUUGAUUGUUUGCAAGAGUGAUAGUUUACAUUGUAAUUGAAGAUUAUUUUUUAUGAUAGUUGGAUGCAUCUGUGGCUAAAUUAAAUUUCAAGAUAGUGAUUGGUUUAGAUUCUAAGCAACACUAUAAAAUCAAUAUGAAAAAAGAUAUUAAUUGAGGUAAAAACUAUGUGAGUUGAUGAAAAAAGAUGAUUUUGAAUCAGAAAAAUAAGAAGCAUGAAUUGAGACAUGAACAAGAAUAGAAGAAAUGCCAUGAACAAUAGAUGAUGGAGGGCAUUUUUGAAACUCAAUGAACAUAAAACAAUGAGUGGAGUGUUAGAGGCUUUUAUUGGAAUGCAAUUAUCAUUUGUCAUAUUUUGAUUGAAUUUAUAUGUACAUAAACAUAGCAAUAGUAAAAGGAAACUGAUAAGUUCCUUCCAAAUUAAAAUUAGCUUAAUUCAUUCAAUCCCUUCGCUAGACAAAUGCCAUGCUAGGAGUACAGGUAUUAAUUAUAAUUUAAUUAUGUUGAUCUGUCCAAAUUCGCUUAUCAAUAAUCCGCCCAAACCCACACAUUAAUUUUGAAUGGGUCUAAAUAGGCACCCAUUAAAUCCAUUUAAUUGGUAGAUAGUGGGCUGACUCAAUUCACCCAUGUAUACCUAUUUAAAAUUAAUUAUACAUUUAAAUUGAACUUCUAGCGAGUGUUAAACAAAUAAAUUCGAAUUUUUUACCAAUCUAAAUAACAAUAAAAUACUAUUAUUUCUUGUCAAACAACAUGCAACAAAUUCAAAAAAAAAAAAAGAAAUUUAAGUGACUGAUAAAUGGAUAUAAAUUGAUACUUAUUUAUACCCAUUUAUUUAUAUAGAUAUAAAUGAGUUGAUCAAAUUAUAACCAUUAUCUAAUUAUGAUCCACCCAAACCUAUUUGAGUUACUCAUUUUGACACCUCUAGUUAGGAGUGAGACAAUAGUUUAGUUUUGGAUUAAAUUUGACAAAUCUCCAUUGGAAACACCAUCCGGAAAUGAAACCAAAAGAGAAUAAACAAUCUCUGAGUUUUCGUUCCGUACCCUUCCUUAACACAAAGAUUUGUUGGGAUGAACAAUGAGUUUGUACAUGUCUAGAAAAAGAGUGCAUUCCGUCAAUGAUGAAAAAAAAAAAAAAGAAAAGGAAGAAGGAAAUAGUCCAAUUCAUUCAACGUGUUGAAGCACAACAAAUUCGGCUAAAAUGUCAGGGCUGCGAUAUUGUAGCUCUAAUAGCUAAAUCUGCAGUUCUCCGUGUUCACAUUCAACUAAAAUGUUGAAGAUGACGAAAUUGUUAAAGCUAUUAUAUAGCAUGAGCAAUGAAAAAAAACCAAAACAUUAUCAAGAUUUCUUCGUCGGCUGACCCAACUUGCUGAGCUUUGGUCGUUUUCCAUGUCUGGAGUAAUAAAUAAGCAUGAACAAGAGGCUCAAUGCCUCUUUUUUUUUUUUUUAAUUCUCUUCCCUUCUUUUUUUUUUUUUUUUUUUUUUGGGAGGUUGGUAAUUGGGUGGGGGGAUUAUUGUUAUUCAGUUGGAGCUAGUGGUCUUGUACGUUAUUUCAUGGAAGUCCUUGCAAUGUGUUCAUCCGGCGCCUUUAAGGCUUAAAUUGAAGUUUAAUCAUUGUUUCACCAAAUUGUAGGUAUCAUUUGUGUUCUUUUUUCUUCUUGAGCAUCAUAUAUAUAUUGAAGAUCUUCUUUUUCUUUCUCGACCACAACCACAAAUGAAUCUGUCAUGGGCGCGUAAACGAUUUUGUGCUUAGUAGUACCGUUUGUUUAUUUGAGGAAAACGCUAGUGACAUACGACUUGUAUCGCAGACAUAAAUUAAAUGAUAACUUACUUUCUUGAUUUUGAAAAUUUUCAUAUUUAUAACAUGCCAUGACUUUUAAUCGCCCUUUUAGGUGAACUCUUUAACAACAAAAGAUACUAGAUAUUUUGUUGGAAUCCUGCAUCACCUAAUGAUCAUAGUUUUUGGAGAUGAUUUGUCUAAACUAUAUGGCGACCAACUAGAUCAUGACUCGAUUAAGACAAGGGUCGACCUUAAUUGUCUUAAAUCCGUCACCACUAUUUUAUCUACCUGUAGUUCAGCAAUCUAUUGAUCAAUCUACCACAACUGUUGGGACAACGUAAUCGCUUUGGGAAUAACUUCCUUGGGCGUCCUAAAUGUGUGUGUUUUGUUUACUUUCAACCUUGGACUUGGAUUUUGGAAGGUACUUGCCGAAUGCUGAGCAACACUUAUCAGUCAUGGAUCCCCGGAAAAAAAAAAAAAAAAAAAAAGGAAGCUGAAAGGGCAAAAUGAAACUUUAGUUUUGUUACUUUCAGGUUUAACGAAAGUGUAGAUCGAAGUAGCAAUCUUAAUUCAGACACAUUUGACUUUACGGCGUCUGUAAUACUCCCUCCGUCCCACUUUAAUAGUCAUGUUUCUUUUUUCACACAAUUUAAGAAAAAGUAGUUAACUUUGUUGGAAAAGUAAAUUUAGAUUGCUAUUUUCCUAAAAUACCCUCACAUUAAAUACGGUACAAUUUUAUGGAAAUUUGAAUUGAUAGUAAAAAAAGAAUCAACUCUCAUUAAAUAGGGUAGGUUUAUAGUAACAACUACUUACAUUGAAUAAGGGUAUUUUAGAAAAAUUAAAAUACAACUACAUUCUUCAUUUGGAAAGUGAAUUAUAAUUUGGGACAGAUGAAAAAGGAAUACAGGAUUAUCAAAGUAGGACGGAGGGAGUAAUAUAUAAACUACUGAAACCAAAUGCUCGUAUUAUGUGUAGAAUAUAUGGCUUAAAGAAAAUCAAGUACACUUAGGGUCUGUUUGUUUCGGGUGAAAAUGUUUUCCAGGAAAAUAUUUUCCUAAUUUCCCGUGUUUGGUUGCACAAAAGUUACUGAAAACAUUUUUCUAUGUAAAAUAUUUUCACUCAUCUUAUGGAAAACAACUUCCCUUCCAAACUUAUUGAAGUUGUUUUUCGAAAUGCAUGCAUCCCGCCUGUAGUAUGUUCCAAACUUAUUAAAAACAUCUUGUAGUAUGUUCUUUUUUUUUUUGUGUAAACAGGAGGAUUCGAACCCAAGAACUCUUCCUUACACUCCCUCCCCCGUACCACCCAACCCUUCCCUAGUAUAUUUAAAAUUUAAAAAAAAACUUUCAUCCUGCUCAUCCUAUGCUAGUAAUUAAUUAUGUAUAAUAUGGACAUUCUUUUCUAGAGAAACUUUCAGCAGUGAGAGUGCAAGAUAUAUGUCACAAUAAGCAUUGCAUGUGAUUGAUAUUUGACACUAAAUGGCCAGCAGUUUGUUUAUUGCUUAAGGAGAUAUUUUUUAUUCAUAUAUACAUUUCUCCAAGAUUUUUUAAAGUUAAACAAUGAGAUAAAUUUUCUUAUUUUGCAUGGGAAGAAGUAUGUAAUUAUAAUGUGUAGAAAGUAAAGAUAGAGAUAAACGUGAAAAUAUUUCAAAAGUUUAACAAACACCAGAAAAAUGAAGUAAGAAAAUAUUUUCAAUAAACUAACCAAACACCUGAAAAUGAUGAAAGGGAAAUGAUUUUCAUGGAAAAUUACUUCCACAGAAAAUAUUUUUCCAAGAAAAACAUUUUACUUCCAACCAAACAGACCCUUAAAAUGCAGAAAUUCUAUCUCAGCUCACCCAUGUGGAAGUUUGAACACUUGCAUUAAUAGAGAAAGUCAAUUAGAAGUAAUUAAAAAAAUCAGUAUCAACUAAACCAUGGAUUUGAAUAGUAUAGGGUCACUUAAAAGUAAAAAGCUAAAAAAAUUGAAGAGUACGUAUACUAAAAAAAUUGAAUCACCCAACCCCCUCUUUCUCUCCUUGGGAGGGGGAGAGGGAGAGUGGGGGACCUCAACCUAUAUGGUGCACAUUGGAUUUCUUAUCCAUGGUCGGUUGGGAAGACCUGGAUUUUCAAUCGUGGCACGUAUAAAUACGAAGUAAUUGUGAUUUGGAUUCACCAUGGGGCAAUGGAUACAACUAUUUUGGAUUUCUUUGGUUAUGGAAGCACACAAUUUUCACAUGUAUACUAGCUAGAGUAUCGCAUAUGAUACUCGUACAAAUAGAUACUAGCCAGUUGAUAAAUUGAUGUCCAGACAAAUUUUCCUGCGUAUCCAAAUCGAUUGUUAACGCCGACAAUAUACUGUUCCAUAUUCCAAAUUAAAUAGAGGACGAUAUACAUACAUACUUGCUAAGUUGAACAGGAAGUGCCCAAGGGGUUACGUACUUCCCCUCGUCCAGAUAUAGCUUCUAGUUUUCUACUGUAACCCCCACAGCCGUAACUUUGUUUUGCAGGCUGAGAAAUGAAUUCAUCGUUUUAAAACUGAAGUUUUGAAAGCUUAUAAUCCCCUCCUACUUGCUUAAGUUUUGGUUUUCCUUGAACAAGAAUGAAAUUCACGGCUGCGCUUUAAUUGGUGUUGAUUUUUAGCUACUUCUAGUUACCAGAGUCGGGCAUGCAUAAAGUAUACAUCAUAGCAAGAGUAGAUGGUUAGAACUAACAAGGAGUUGAACCACUACUACUCCUGACCAUAAAAAUUAAAGGGGAAAAAAGAAAUUUUUUUUUAAAAAAAAAAAAGAAGAAGAAAGAAAGAAAGAAAAUAAGGGCUAUGGGGUGAAUGGUAGGAUCAUUAAGAUUGAGUUCUGAAGAGAAUCCGAACCAAACAGAAAAAAGUUGGAUGAAAACUCAAAAAUAGGGACUUUUUGCGGCAGCAUUGCUAUUUGCUGCCCCCCUGCCACAUUCUGAAAUGCGUUCCCUCAAGAUGUAUUAUAGGCUCCAAGAUGAGCAGAGACUUAGAGACACCUGAAAAAAAAAAAAAGAAAAAUCGCCAAGAAUCAUCCAAACAAACAUUAUUGCCUGGUGGAGCCUCAUGUCUGGAAUAGUGGGAAGCCAAAGUUGAGAAUUAUAGAAGGAUUGAGAAAAAAGACGACUACUACUACAACUACAACUACUAAAGCCAACACUGACGCAGAAGCCACUAUUUCCUGCUAACAAGGCUGGCCUGCGAGCAAGCAUAUUCACAGAUGUUGAUUCUGCCGCAGUCUUGAAUUGCACUUCCUACUUCCUACCCUACUAUUUCUACUUCUCAGUUAUACUACUAUUUCCCUUUUUGCGCUGAAGAAACGAAUCAGAAACAUGAAAAGGGCUAACGAAUUUAUAGCCAAGGAACAAUAAAAACGGAGAGAAAGCGAAAGGCGUGCCCCUCCCUUCGCUGCUGAGACUGAUCCGCAUACCCCUUAAAAGAUGUCUCGAACAGAGUGUCUUUUCAUGAGCUUUCUUUGUUAAUACUGACUACAUCAUUGCACCAACUUUCUUGGUUAGCUUUCUAGUUUGGUUCUGUUCUUUUUGAACCAGAAAGCUAAGCUAGGAAUUCGUUAGCAACCAAAUUUAUUACUUAAUUUCAAUCCGAUAAUGUAUUUUGGACUAGAUCAUCUGCAACAACAGCAUUUUUUUUUCCUUUGAUAAGAAUUGGAUGGUUUUGGCUCCAAUGAGUCAAGACAUGUCUCUGAAACUGUAAGUUACUCACAAGAUUGCUUAUAGAUCACUUACUAUUAUAACCCUCAAGUCUACAGUAAAAAUUGUAACCCUCAAAUCCACAGUAGAACCCUAACAGGCGGACCUUUUGCAAAGAAAUGAUCCGUGCUAACAAGUUAAUCUGAUAUGUGUUGGCCAACAAUAGCUGCAUGCCAUGCAGCGCUUCUUAUGAUGGCAAUUUUCUCUAAUGUGGAGAACGAAUCGCUGGGUUCGUACGCGAGUCAUUGCGUGCUCACUCUACUCGAUGUACAUUGUUAGUGGUAAAAAACUAAGACCCCUAAUAACCUCUUCCCAAUAAUUAAAAAGAAAUGAAAAGAAGUCAGACAAGAAAUGAGCACCGAAAUUUAGAAAUGAAAUAAUAAACAUAUCUAGCAAUGUAUAGCUCGAAGCAAAUUAUUACUAUGCCUUUUCUCUUCUCACAUUAAAUCCCAAAAUUUCUGACAUAAUUGGCCCCCCCCCCUUUUUUUUCUCUAUCUGAAGAGAGGAAUCACAAUAUAUAUUGCUCAUGUUUGUACUGCUUUAUACAUGUGCUGCACUCACUCUCUCUCAAGAGUCAAGAGUGAGAGACUAGAGACUAGAGGGAUUGGGACGAAAACAUAGUUGGAUGAGUAACAGUUACAGUUAGCAGCGUCUGUCGUGACGUCCAUUAUUCAGGACGUGGAUGGGACUUACCAAUCGACCGUGGCUCAUAUCAUAUGUGUUAUAACCUCAAAGGACUCUACGUACGCAAUUUCUUUGUGCAUAUUGAGAUGCGAAAUGUUGCAUUCUCACAUGUUGAAGGAAUAAUUGCCGGUCGACCAGUAUUUUCAGAGUCCUCACCCGAUGGUACCCCCUCCCAAGCAAUCAAGAAAAGGGAAAAGGAAAGAAAUUGAAGCUGAGAAGUUAAUGGCGUGGAUUGGUUACUGGAUGAUAUUCUUCCUUUCAUGAGGCCUAUAUAGGAGCAGCCGUCUCCAUCCGAAAUGAAACUUAUGCCAACAUCCACAGGCUACUAUACUGUGCAGCAGAGUUUAGUGUAAGCGAGACUCAUUCAUUCAACAACUUUCUAGCAGCUACGCUCUGAUACUGUAGUAGCAGCACACUUUAUCAGAGAGAGUUCCUUUGAUCAUGUGAGACUGUCUGAGUCGGUUUUAAUUAAGUCAAACCUCAUCUUCUUCUUCUUUUUUUUUUUUUUUUUUUGGGGGGGGGGGGGGUGUUCGUGUGAUUCAGCUGGUUUUAACAAAAUAUAUAUAGUAGUAAUGCAGGAACAAAUAAAAAUUUUUUUUUUUUUUUUUUUUGUUGUUUUUGUGUGUGUGUGUGUGUGGGGGGGGGGGGGGUUGUUAGGGAGGGUAUUGAGGAACGUGUUGCUGUCGCUUACUCUUGACGCCAUGGAUUAUGGAUAUGGAAAUAAAAAAAAAUGGCAUAUGUUCUUCUAGUAUUGUUCUUUGAUCCUCCAUUGCAUCUUUCCAUGUGAAAGCCAACAGAUAUAUAGGCGGCUUGCCUUUGAACCAGCAUAAUGUAAAUUGUCUCUCGUUUUCAUCAUAAUCUCUCCUGAUUAAUGAAGACUUUCGGUUCCGCUAAUCCCCUAACUGUUUGGAUGUUAAUUAAUUGAGUUCUAUGCAGUUCAUGGAUCAGAGUAGGAUUAAAUGACAUUAAAUAAUUUAAUUGAUCUCGAUCGUGUUAUUUCCUAUGGAGCCGCAUAGAGUUAACACUUGCUACCAUCUCAAUUUCCAUAGUCGGAUGAUCGCUUAAAAUGAGACGUUGAGAACAGUUAACUGACCAUUGCAAAACAAAAAGAAAAGAAAGAAUGAAGCCAUAAUAUUAAUUUGAGGCUUCGAAUGCCGAAAUAAUUUGUCUAACUCGAUGUUGAAAGGUGUACAAGAUGCUUGAAGAAGAAGAAGGAGGUAGGCGGAUAAUGAUGAAUGGAUGUAGUUGUACAGUGCGCGUUAAAAAAAAAAAAAAUAUCUGAGAAAAAGAUCUGCCCGUCGGUCGUGUCAGGGAAGGUACCGGCUGGCUGCUAAAUCCAAAAGUCUAUUUUGUCCUCCAGGCGGACAUGGAUCGUGGGAGAUGCCACACUUUGGGCCUCUAAGGACACAUGGGACGUUCGUUGCCAUGGGACUCAAAUAGACGCGUGCACGAUCCACUUGCCUCAAACGGCAUCAGUAGCUGGAUGACUAAUCCGCAUAUCCGAUCCAUCCCGCUCUCUCCCCCCCCCCCCCCCCAAAUUAUUAAAAAAAAAAUCAAAAUAUAUUUUAAUGUUCUCGUACAUUACCAAAAUACUAGUAAUGAUCAUCAUUAUCAUAAUCCGACUAAAGGCAUCGGCCAAGACUCUGAUUUGAGAUCAAAGGUUAGGAAAGUUCUUUUUCAUUGUCGUUACAAAUUGGGGGUUUGGCUGAUCAAUCCUAAACGCUCAUUUACUCGACCGUCAAGAAAAAUUACAACACUUAUGUGCUGAUCCACCUGUCGCCUAUGUAAAGGAUGCAUUUUCCACCAAAUACAUUUGGACCAUAUGUAUCUUACACGUUUCUUCGAACAGGCUGUUCUCCUUGUUCCUUAUGCUAUAAACGAAGAGAGUCAAUUUCUGUUGACGUUAUUUUUGUAACUGAUUUUUUUUUUUAAAAAAAAAAAAUCGAUUAAAUUCAUUAUUCAUUAAUUUGUAGAUAAAAAGGGCACAUUAAAUUCAAAACAGAUAACCCAUCAAUUUCGAUAUAUUAAUCAAACCAGUGCCCCUUUUUUUUUCUUUUGGAAAAUUAGUUUAACUAAUUCCUAAAAUUGAGCGCAUUUGAGAGGUAACAUUUAUAAUGUGACUCAAUAUUUAGAAGAAAAGAAAUCAGCAUCGUCCCAAUAACGAAAGAGGAACUCUUACUAUGGAUAUAUCGCCAUCUUAGUAGCAGAUAGCAUCUUUCCCUAACGAACCGAAGGACAGCCUAGUCUUCUUGUCGGAUCCGAAGCUGAACUUAAGAUCGUCUGCAUCAACUUGAGCAGAGGCACUACUUGUCGAGGGGAAUGGGAAUGAAAACACAAGCGCUGGAGUUGACCUCUUAGUGCCAAAACUGUAAGCAGGAACUGCAGGCAAUUCAUUUGGCUGAGAUACCACCUCAAUCAAAGAGAAUGGCAUGACGGAGGGUGUUGGUGGCUCUGACAAUAUACUGGACGAGGCGGAUACAGGGAAGGCAAAUGCAGAGCCAUUAUCAGAUGACACGGCACGACUCAGAUCGUGCCUCCCAACAGAAAUUUGUGGCAAAGUCGGCCUUGUCCCAGAUGAGUGUGGUGGUGGCUUCUUUGAUGGCUCAAGGCCGGAUUCACUCUGUGACGUUGUGACAUGCUUCCCAUUACUCUGAUGCUGGGAAGGGUUUUGUAGACUCGACCUCUGCCAUAAAGACAUUAAGAGUUUGAUUCAACAGAAUAUUCAACAAUAGUCAUACCGAAUCAAUUCGGCAAGCAUGGAUCCUGUUUCUCCAUGUAACCAGAUUCAACUGGUCAGAAGGCCACCACAUCACUAUGGCAACUCUACCCUCCGUUCCCUUCAAAUGACACUACCAAUCAACAAACUACUUCAAGAAUUAAUGUAAUGGCCUCGCAUGUUUAGUCUCUCUCUUUCAAGCUUAAAACUAACCGGCACACUAGUCCAACAUGUGAUCUAUUACUAUUCACAAUAUGUUUUAUCCAAAUCUUUCAUGAUAUAAAUGCCAGGUCAAACUCAGACAUACAUUAUCAUGAGAUUUUAAGAUUACGAAGUCACAGUGUGAGAUCCAUCUAGCUCAAUACGAACUGCAAAAGAAUAACCUGAUGAACCAUGAAAAGCAACCACACAAGCGUAACAUGAUCACAAAGAAUUACAUACCUCCUGGAAACUUUUUAGUUGAGAAGAAGUACUCUUCAAAGAAAACAAGGACCCACUGUUGGUAUCACUUUGCACUGUAGCAUCACCAUCGUUUAUGCCAGGAGGCUGACUACUUGCGACUAUAGCAUCUUUAGCUUCUUUACUUCUCUCCUGGGAUUCUACUUGAUUCUUUGAAUUGCCUCCAAGUUUAUUUCCUUCAGAAAUAAGUUUCGGAUCAGGCAAAUCAGUUUGCUUUAAAGAACCAAAUUCUUUGGGAUUUGAGAAGCUGAUAUUUUCCUUCAGCGUAGCAUGGGAAGCCCCAGGAGGAGAUCUCUUCCAUGCAGUAGCUAGCCGUAUCUCUGCUGCCUUCUCUUGAGGUGUGGGCUUGCGACUAUCAAGCUGUUCCAAUAUUCUUUUUACUGCCUGACUGCAUGAUGGGUUCACAUGGGUGUUAUUCCCAACACCCUUUCCCGCAUGGUUGCCUUGCUGUUGUCUUGAAGUACUAGCUUCACCAGGUUCCAGAUUCUUCUGUAAAUCAGGCAGGAGGCCUUGAAAGGCAAUGGGCUGUUGAAUUGGUGAAGGAGCAUCUUUAGAAGGCUUAAAAAGAAUAGACCCUCUUGGUCUGGCUUCUGAAGCAAGUUUAUUUCGCAUGUGACGGACUGGUCCAACUGAUCCAUAGCCACUAUCAAGCACAUCAUGUCUUGAUUUUACCUUAAAAACGGAAAAAAAAUAACCGUAAAACAAACUACUCUAUAUAUACAUAAAAGAAUGCUACAGCAAUUUGAGUCAUGAUAGUCGAUAGAAGGAUUGCAGCUUGGAUACUAAAUCUACUUCUAUACGACUCAUCAAAAAAGAGCUCAAUCAAUAUCUGACGUUUCAGAUAGGAUAGACCACCACUGACUCUACAAGCAUCUCUUGCAGAGUUGACCAUAGGUCGCUAUAGAGAAAGAUGAAUUUUACAGAAGAAAAAGAUCACAAUGUGUGAUGCAACAAUAAUAACCCACUAAUGAGUUAUACCUGUCCAAAGAACGGCAUUUGAGAUUGCUUCGUGGAGAUUGGUGAAGUGUUUAGGUACCUGCUAUCAGCUUGUGACUGAGUCAGCUGACAACAUAAAAGAGAAAAUAAA
This 60720-nucleotide long non-coding RNA is filed under the name Coffea arabica (coffee). RNAcentral's name for it is "long non-coding RNA (CARA_LNC003992)". The record is from RNAcentral. Lineage: Eukaryota; Viridiplantae; Streptophyta; Magnoliopsida; Gentianales; Rubiaceae.